AUGAAAAGGAAAAAGUACUGUUUAGCUGUUCUUCUGUUAUUGACUUUGUAGGCCCCAUACUCCUGAAUGGUAGAGCAACUCCUGCGAGGUGGAAAGCUUUGCAGUAUCUUAAAAUGCUAGUCUUUGUUAGAACUUUACUACUGAAACAACAGAGCAAUUUGAUCCAUGCUGUGUUGUCUUUUCUUUUUUCCUGGAGUUAUGUGCUAUGAUCUAACAUAAGUACAUAACACAUCUCCUUGUUGCCAUUCAGAUGCCAUAUUAUAAGAACUUUGUGAAAGAACUGAACGUACAGAUUACUGAAGCCAUCAUACCUAACUUUUCUAGUACAUAAUGCUUUAUGCAUUCAUAACUGACAUGGUUCAAAUAGAAGCUUCUGCAGUUAUUUUUUUUUGAAUUCCUGCCUUAACAGUGUGGACUAGGGGGUGUUUUACGAUCAUGAACUUGAAACCUUGCAGGCAGAGGUGUCUUCUUUAAGCUUUGAAGGAUGCCAUCUUAUAGGCCAUCCUACUGCGGCAACGACAAUAUAGAUGUAAUGCCUCAUGUUUUCUUCUUCUUCUUCUUCUUCUUCCUUAAUUUUUUGCCGUAGUUCUAGUUUACUUGCAAGAUCAAGUUUUGUUUGCUUCAAAUAUUUCACUACAUCCACUUUAAGCUGUAAGCCCCUACCAUCCCUGCCCCUAGAGAUAGUUACUAAUCUGAUCUCCAUGUGUAUAAUAUAUUGAACAGAGGUAUAUCAGUUUGUAUUCGUCAGUUUGCUCUUUUUUGUGCUUUAGCAUCUUAUUCUUUUCUUCCUUAACUGAUGUUCGAGAUGUCCACUGUGGAAGUACGCAUUAUCUGAAUUGAUGUUAUGCGGGGCAGAAUUAUCUUUAACUGAGACUUGAUCAAAGGCGGGAUGGCUGUUCGAGAUCCAUUGAGAUUGGCAAGGUAUGACCAACAUCUCAUGGUUACAAUUCAGAAUCUCUUCUCUUGGUGCCUUGUAGUUCUUUCUUCUGAAUACAGGUCACUAGUGAUAUAUAUUUAGAUUUUGCAUAAAAAAAAAAAGAGAUAAAUUGAAUAAAAUUUUCCGUGUUUACUGGUUUAGAAAAUAAAUGCUGGGUUUGCUCUAGUAGAUGGAGAUGGCUAGCAUCAGUUAUAGUGCAUGUGGAUUUGAUCAUUUCAAUUCCAUCCAAAUCGUAAUGAUGACGAUUGUUUAUAUGGGAUCUUUAUAAUACUGAUAUACUAAUUGUAGUACAUGACUUUAAGUUGAUAUCUUCCUUGUCUUAGCUUUGCCCAUUUUUUCCACUAAGUACUUGUUCUUAGCUUUCCUUCAUUUGGUAAGAUCUCUCCAUGCUUGGUUGCUUUAGUAGAUCAAUGGCUCAGCUAUUAACAUUGAAGAAAGCAUACUGAAAUGAGAAAAAGUUGAUCAUGCUUUCCUAUUUAGUGUAGAUCACAAGCUUGCCAUCUUUGGUUUUUGACUAUCCAAAUAUAAGAUCAAACUGAUAAAAUGUCCUAACACCAUAGCUUUAAGGGAUUUGUAGAAUCUUGAUGGCGUUUUGUUGUAUUAAUACACUUGCGAUCCAUCUUGAGACACGUCUGUGUAUUUUCUUAAAUUAGCGUAUGAUUCCAUUAUCUCAUCUCCACCAGAAGACCGUAGGUUAUUAGUGGUGGAUAUGGUUCCAUUCAUUCUAUUUCUUUGAGAAUGAAACGUGAUGUUUCAUUGAUGAUAAAACAGCACUAAGUGCUAAUAUUCUUUCUGGUGGUCCAGUUUCCCUCUAGACCAUACUUUUCUUCGAUCACCUUCCUCCACAAUGCCGCUUCUUCAUUGUUAAAUCUCCAGAGCCACUUCAUCACGAGACUUUGAUUUUGUAAUCUCAGAUUUUUUAUCCCAGGCCACCAAGUUUCUUAGAUAGAGUGCAAGUCUUCUAGUUGACCAAAUGGAAAGCUUUCUGCUUUCUUAUCCUUAUUACCUUGCCAUAGAAAAUUGCUUUUCAGCCGGUUCAGUUUCUUUGAACCUUCACUGGCAUGGGAAAUAGUGACCUGACAUAUGAGUGGAGUGAAUCCAGGACACUAUUAAUGAGCACAAGUGAUAUAUAUGCUUCUUUCAGUUGGAUAGCCUUUUCACUAAUGCCUUGCCAGAUGAUAUCAGCUUUACAGUUGGCUCCAGGUAGGUCCUAGGAAGCGAGCCAGUUUUCCACCUCCAAAACACCAGCCAGAUAUGAAAUAUUUUGAACUUUAUUCACAGUAUACAUCGUACUCUUCAUCAGAAACUGUGAGAAUCAGUCUCAGAUGCUUAAGUUGCUCCACAUCUGCAUCGCAUAGAAUUAGCGUAUCAUCAGCAUGUAAAAGGUGGGUUCUGAGCAUUGUUAAAUACUUUAAAACCUUUCAGCCAGCCUGGGUGUUCAGCGUAUUUUAUCUCCUGCUGAGGGGUUCCAUUACCAAAAUAAAUAAAAAUUGGGACAUGGAAUCACCUUGUCUGAUGCCUCUUUGCGCGCACAAAAGAAACCUUCAGGGGUACCAUUUAUCAGGAUUGAGUAUCUAAUGAGCGUGUACUGUAGGACACGUAACUUCUCCAUUUAGUACCAAACCCUAACUCUUUAAGCAUUGAAAAGAGAAAAUCCCAAUUCACAUGGUCGAAAGCUUUUUCGAUGUCCAGUUUGCAAAUCAGCCGUUGUGUCAUCUUCCUUUUUCUUGUUAUCUAGACAUUCAGUAGCAUUUAAAGUUGCAUCCAUAAUUUGUCUCCCUUUAAUGAAAGCCAUUUGUGUGUUAUGAACCAGCUUGUCACUGACCCUCUUGGAUCUUUCUGUUAACAAAUUAUUUUGUAACACUACCAGUCAAGCUUGCUUUUUUUUUUUUAUUAUUAUUAUUUUUUUUUAUAUAUAUCCUUUGAACCGAGGGUCUAUCAGAAAUAGUCUUUCUACCUCACACAAGGUAGAAUUAAGGUAUGCAUACACAAUACCCUCCUCCGAUUCCACUUGUGAGAUUACACUAGGUAUGUUGUUGUACCGGCCAAGCUAAUGGUAAAAAAAUCUUCCAGCAGCAUGGCACCAUUCUUCUUGGCAAUUAGGGCAAUGCAUGUAGCAUUCAGGCUUCUUUCAAACCCUCCUUGACUGUAAAAGAAUUCUAAAGCUUUCAUUUAUCUUCCUUUAUCACUGGCCAGCAUUUUUUGUAAAAUGCCUUUGGGAUAAUUGGAUGCCCUAUACUUGAGCUCAAUUGUGGAGAGAGAUUAACAUAGUGAAAUUAAUAGUAACAAUAAAUUGAGAGCAAAGAAUAAAUAAGAAUAAUUUAGUCAAAUACUCAAAUUAUCCUUUCAAUUAUUGUUGUCUUAAGGGGCUGCAAAAGCCGACAUAACAAGUAAAAGAGAUCAAAGGGAGUAUUCAAUAGCAUUAAUUUUCCUACUCUAUAUCAUGAAUACAACAACAAACCCCCCGGGACUUCUAUAAAUAUCUGUUUUUUCACAAGAAAGAAAAGCUCUUACUAUCUUGAUUCAUGUUUCAUUUACAGAGGGCCAAGUCAAUUUUGUCGAGGAAAGAGGUCCAAAUAUUCGUGAAUCUUAAAGAAAUGUCCCAAAUAAGUAUUAACUUACAAAUCUUUAGCCAUUAAUUAUAAACUUACAAAAACUAGCCAAACACAUACAAAAAUUAAAAAUUCAAAUAAAUAAAAAUUCUUUCCCUCCAAGAAUCACAAGCAAAGAUAUAUAUAUAUAUAUAUAUCUUUACCAUAUAUGAAAUUAGAAGAUUUUUUCCUAAAGAUACCUGGACUACCUACGAAUGUUUUGAUAAUGGUAUAAAUCAGGGUGUUGGUUGAGUCGGGAAUGGUAUGACCAUCUUUGGGUGUAGAAGAUCUAUAUUUUGUUAUCUCCUUAUCUUUAGGCGUUCGUCUCUUAUGAGGCCUUUUACUACAAGGACGUAAGCCAAAUUGUUCAUAGAAACUAUCUAGAUCUCGGCGAGUCUGCGUUCUAUCUUUGGCUAAUUAUCUCAAUAUCUUAUCAUGUCGACAUAUUUUGAGAGCAACAUGUUGAAUGAGACUGGUAAGAUGGCCAUAGGUGAUUUUUUCGUAAGGAAUAAUAUCACCAGUAUACUAGUUUUGGAGUUCCUCUUAACAAAAUUUCUAUGAGACUUAGGUGGACCAUUUAGGAAUUUUUCUUUUCAAUAUUGAAGGUUUCCAUCUAAUUUUUCCCCCGUAGAUGCAGGCAAAAAAGGAAUCUUAUAAUAUCAUUUGAAAUCAGAAAGGACUUUGCACUUAAGGUUGUUAAGUAUCUCAGAAGAUCUUUCCCUAAAGAUACCUGGACUACCUAUAAAUUUUUUGAUAAUGGUAUAAAUUAGGGUGUUGGUUGAAUCGGGAAUGGUAUGACCAUCCUUAAGGAUUGGUUCUCCCGUUGAAUCAACUCGGACACUUAAGAGAGUUUGGUUCUUAUCUUCCUCACUCAGAUGGGUAUCCCUCCAUCAUUUAAGUUGACCUGUAAAACUUGCUACUAAGACAUGGGUAUAAGCUGGUCAGAAAAUUUAUGAGAAGUCCGGUAUGUAGUGGCUACCAUAGUCAUCUGCUGUAAUUUGGUCAAAAUAUUAUAUUCAGAACAACCAUCUAUGUUCCACUCAUAGAUAUUAUCGACAUUAUAAUUGUUUUACAUGUGUGUGUAUGUAUAUAUAUAUAUACACACACACACAACAACAACCCAGUAAAAUCCCAUAAGUGGAGUCUGGGGAGGGUAGUGUGUACGCAGACCUUAUCCCUACCCCAAAGGAGUAGAGACGCUGUUUCCGAAAGACCCUCGGCUCAAGAAAACAAAAAGACAAAAGGGGACAAUAUUAGUAUCACCACGAUAAUCAUAGAAAAAAAUAAUAAUAAAAAAAUAGAAACAUGAAAUCUAGAAGAAAUAUAUAACGACCCGAACGGUCAUUUUGAGAAUUUGCACUUUGCUCGGUAGUUUGGGGGCACGAGUAGCUCCGUAUGAUGUAUUAGGACUUAUGUGCAAAAUUUGAGUUCAUUCCGAGUUGAUUUGAUAUGUUUCGGUGCGUGUUUUGGAAGUUGAAAGUUCAUUAAGUUUGAUUUGAGGUGUGUUUCAUUGCUACGAUAUUAUUAUGCGUGAUUUGGGGGCUCGAGAAAGUUUGUGUUAUGUUAUGGAACUUGUUGGCAUGUUCGUACGUGGUCUUGAGGGGCUCGGGUGAGUUUUGGAUAGAAUUGGGUUGUGUUGCGCUUAUUUUUUCUUAUAUUUCGACGUCGUUUCUUCAAGCAUAAAUGGUGCCACAUUGAACAAAUGAGCUCCGAUUUCUGUUUUGGUUGAAACAUUAGAUCCGUAUUAUAAUUAUGGAUUCAUAGAAAAAAGAAUAGUCAAAUUUGGACAUCGUAUGAAGAUUUUAUGGUCAUUUUACUAAGAAUUGGGUUGCUAGAUUUUUCAGAUUAAUUACGAAAUUGCCAUUGACUUCGUAUUUAAGGUCAAAUGGAAUGAUUCAAAAGCCUAUCUUGACUGAAAUUUCGCAAGGAAUCCAUUGGAAGCAUAACAAGCAAGUUUUAGGAUCGUUUAGCACUCAAAACGAGGCAGAACAGCUGGGCAAAAGUACUUAAUAUCGAAGGUUUGUUAAUUUGGUCAUAUUUUGAAUUGGGGAGCUUGGAUGUGGACAAUUUUGGAGGCGAUUUUUACCAUAUGGAUUGGGGUAAGUGUUCUAUACUCGAUUUUGGUUAUAUUUCAUGAAACCAUCUUCGUUUUUUGCAUUUGAUUGAUGAUUUCAAAGUGAAAUUUGGGGGUUUCGUCUAAAAUUUCAUAAUGUGAAUUUUUGAGUUUUGAAUAUCGAUUCGGAGUCGGAUUUGAGUGAAACUAGUAUGGUUGGACUCAUAAUUGAAUAUGUUGUCGUAUUUUGUGAUUUUUGUCAGGUUCCGAGGCGCGAGCCCGGGUUAGAAUUUUUGGCCGAUUUUGGACUUUUGAUUAAAGAUUCGACCUUUUUCGAUUGGGAUUGGUUCCUUUAGAAUUGUUUGAUGUAUUUGAGUUGUUUUUGGUUAGUUUCGAGCCGUUCGGAGGUCGGAAUACGCGGGAUGGCAUUUUUGGAGCAUUGCUUGGCUUGCUCGGUAUUGGAAUUGGCUUGUUUGUGGUAAGUAACCCUUCUAAACUUAGUGCUGAGGGUAUGAAACCCCGAAUUACGUGCUAUGUGAUUGAUGACGAGGUGACACACAUGCUAGGUGAUGAGCGUGUGGGAGUGCACCUUAUGAAUUGUGACUCCGUUGUUUUCAUGGCACUGUUUAGUGGCCUAUUUUGUUGAUAUAUGUGUUUUCACCAUGUGAUUAAGUAACUGAGCUGUCAAUCAUGCUAGAUAUCAUGUUUAGGCUUUAUGCCGAUAUUGUUAGGAUCCAUAGUGGUCAUUUCUUGCUGUCAUCUCACUGGUUUUCAUUGAUAUUUCGUACUCAGUCAUAUUCAUGCAUUUAUAUCAUAUCUCAGUCUCAGUUAUUAGUCAUUGACACAUCAUAUCAUUGUUCCGGGGCUUGAAUACAUACACUUAAAGUUAGCACGAUUUUUCAUUUAGAUACCUGAACUUAAAGGUGUUCCUAUUGAGCACUUAUACUAUCCGAAAUUUAUUCCAACUAAGCACUUCUUUGACAAUCAGCCAAACUUACAAAGUUUGUGCAAUGCAAUUGCUGCUGACUUGGCGAAUGACAAAUAAAAAAAGAACAUAUAUUAUUUUGAGUAAAAAAAAGGAAAAAACCUAAAACCACUACUUAACUCAGCAUCUUCACUAUAUGUUCAUGUAUGUUCUUCACUAUUUUCAUGUGUGUUCUUGUUCCAAGCACGGUUUUAAUCCAAAAUUUUAAGAGAAACUCCUCCGAAUUUGUUAUAACUUCAGCUAAAGAUUCCCCACAACGACCCGAAGACAACCCCAAUAUUAAUUUCCCAAACUUGCAUCAAAUCAAGUAACCCAUUUUAAACCUUCAAACUUUUUAAAGAUCCCACUAAUGAUGUUUCAAUUAGAAAUGAAGAACUCAGACUCAUUUAAGUUUUUCUCUCUUCUUCUUCCUCUGCUUUGCUCUGUUUCUUUUUCCGAUACCAUUAUAGUGAGAGAAAGAGAAAAAGUGUUUAGCAGAAGUCCAGCGGCAGCUGGUUUCUUAGGGUUGAACAAGAAUCCCAAAUCUUGAACAAACAUCAAAAGAAAAUCAUUCACAAAAAGUAGUGCAGCUGAAAUUAGCAUUAAUAGCGGGCCAAACUUUGAACUAAGACGAGCAAAGCCAAACAACUUUACCAAAUCGGAACGAACAAAAGGGGGUACCGGUUGCGGACCAGAGCAUAUUAUGCAUUGUAAUGUAGGUAUUCCAAUGGUUUUGCUUUUCGUUAGAAAUAUAUAUAAAAAAAGAGAGGGGGCUCGUUGGAUUUUUUGGAGAGGAUGAGGCCGCCGGUUUCUCUCGCCGGAUUCCGGCAGUGAAGAGAUGGGGACUGCCUCAGAUCUGUUUUGUUUUUUAGGGAGAAGAAGAAGGAAAUAAAAAAGAAAAAAUUUAUUUUUUGGGGUCUUCACGCGCCUAUAUUGGGUGAAACUCACUUUAUGUGCCAACUCAGCAAGAAGUGCUUAAUUGGAAUAAGUUUCGGAUAGUAUAAGUGCUCAAUAGGAACACGACCCUUAAGUAUAAGUGUCUAAAUAAAAAAUUGUGCCAACUUUAAAUGUCUCCAUAUGUAUUCGGCGUUGUUCCGGGUUAGUCUUCAUGACAUUGUGAGCUCUUGAGUGCGACUGGAGAGAUUGAUGACCGAGUGAGGCCGAGAGCCUGAUUUUGAGUGACAGUUAUAGGAUUGGGCUGCACGCUGUAGCGAUUAUAUUGAUGAUUAUGAUAGUGCUUGGGCUGAAGGAGCCCCUCCGGAGUCUGUAACACACCCCAGUGAGCGCGAAUGAUAUUAUUGAGGGAUGGAUUUCCCUGGACAUGGAUUUGUCCGAAGUACUUGAUACCUGGAGAUGGAUUUCUCCACAGGGUUGGAUUUCCCUUUUUCCUCGGUGCUGGGUGCCUUAUAGUCAGUGUUGUAUAUGUUCCAGAAUGGAUUUCCCUGGGCCGUAUGGGCCAUAUAUAGUACUGAGUGGUUGAGCAUGAUGAGUGAAAAAUGUGAGACAGUGAGAUUGAGUUCUCUGAGAGUGUGAGUACAUGAUUCAUCUAUGAGGUACAUGGCAUUGAUAUGCACACAUGACAUACAGGCAUAGAGAUGCACUUUUUCUCAUGUUGUACAGUAUCACGUCAUUCUUGAUUUUUCAUACUUAUUGAUAUGUGAGCAUAAAGAGGUAUUUCACACUUGCUAUUUGGAAAGAAAGUGAAACAUCUUAUUUAUUUUGGAAAGGCCUUUGGAAAAAUUAUAGUUUUCAAACUAUCUCACAAUUUUUUGACAAUUUCGAUAAAGGAUUUGAAUUUUCACUGUUAUUCUUGAAAAGUGGAACUAUUUCCAAAAACUGUGAAAAAGAGGAGCAUUUAUAUCUCUAAGUUACUUCCUUAUUUAUAUGUUUUACGUUGUUACGAACUGCUACUGGUUAUUGCUAUUGGACCCGACCUAUGUACCAGCUCAUCACUGAUUUCAAUCUAAGGUUAGGUUUGUUACUUACUUAGUAGAUGAGAUCGGUUGUACUAAUAUUAUACUUCUGCACAUUACAUGCAAAUGUUGGCUGUUGUUGUUGCUAUGCCUGAUGGUUGCCGGAUUUGAAGAUGUACCUGCAUUCCUGUUGUAGCUGCCUCUUGUUCAUGGUAGCCGUAGAAUUAAUAAAACUCUGUUUAUGUACUUUUCAAACUGAAGAUGCAUUUACUUCAUACCAGCUUUGUAAACUCUAUUCUUAGAAGCUCAUGAUUUGUACUACUAGUCUUUGGGAAAUGUAUAAGAUUCAGAUAAUUUCUUUUGCUUAAAUUGUCUUAUUAAACAUUAUUGGACUUGGAUAAUUAUUAGUUGGCUUACCUAGCGGAUUGGGUUAGGUGCCAUCACUACUAGUAGAUUUGGGUCGUGACAGAUUGGUAUCAGAGUUCUAGGUUCAUAGGUUCUACAAGUCAAUAGCAAGUGCCUAGUAGAGUCUUACGGAUCGGUAUGAUGACGUCCAUACCUAUCUUUGAGAGGCUACAGGGAAUUUAGGAUAUACUUCCCAUCUCUCUUUCCUUAUCGUGCGACAUUGAUUUAGCUUGAAGCGUAGUCCUUUGAAUUCCUUCCACUCAUUCGUAUGCAUACAUGAGCACUCGGUAUCAGCUGUGCACCAAUGACUUGUGAUUCCCGGGAUGAGGUGCGAGAUAUGAAUUCUCUGUGUUGAUGAUGGGCCAGUUUGGAGGACUUGAGGCGGGUUUGACUGUAGCUUGAUCACAGAGGUGUUGAUCGUGUGAGCACAUGCUUUUGGGCUUAUAUGUCCGGUAGUGUCCCUAUUGGUGGAAUUUGUGGUUGGAUGGCUAUGUAACGAGUAUGAUAUGACUGCAGGAAGUGUUCAAAUGUGAUGAAAAGAGCUUGACUGAGAUAUAAAUUGGUGCUUGAUUUCUGUCUUGAUUUGAUGUAUAAUCUCGAGUUAUGGGAGUGUUAAAGGAUCUUUCAUGCUGUUUGGUUGUAGAGUGAAGUAAUGUAUUCAAUGUCGUGAUAUGAGUUCAGACUCAGGAAGAUCAAAUGAUUGCAUAAUAGUUAUGACUGUAGAAGGGAAUAGAGAGAUGUCAGUUUGAGGCAAAACAUGUGGGUUAUCUCCUGCGAAGUGUCCUGAAGUUUGUGUGAUCCCUAUGUUGUUUUCUAGCAAGUUCUCUUUUACCAGUGAAUAAUAUGUGUUGCAAUUUGAGUUUGGAUCACUUAUGAGAGUUGGCUUGACUGUCACAAGGGAGAAUGCGGGAUUUGCAGAUGAUUUGAGAUAUUAGAUGGUUUGGGUUUCAUGAGCUUAUGGAGGAUUUAAUGGAAUCUCACUGCGGUAUUCUGGAAAUAAUAGAGUAUGGACAUCAUGAGUUAUUGUGUAUUUUGAUCUAUGGCUUUGAGCCAAGUGGGGGAGUCUACUAUUGCUAAGUUGAUUGCACGGCUAUGUGUUGUAUUGGUUUCGGUUUGAGCUAUACUUGUGAAUAGGUUAUGUUUUGCAGAGGGUGAGAUCGAUUAAAGGAAUUUCUGGAUGCGGGUUGUGUUACACUCUAUGGGUAUAUAGAAAUCAUGGAAUGAUUGAGUGGUUAUUCGUGAAGGAUGUAGUGUGCAUGGAGUAGGAAUUUGAUUGGUUCCAUUAAGGUGGAGUCACUUCCUGGGGUGUUGGUGUGCUAAUGGGGCACAUGCUGUUCGGUUUGCUUGAUCGGUAUAAUUGAUAUUUGAGUAGGGUGGAAGACUCUUGAGAAUGGUUCUAAUGGAUGCAAGAUUUAAAUGUAGCAAUUGGGAACAUUCAGGAUUUGUAUAUGGCUAGAAACUGAGAUUUUCAGUGGAUGGUUUCGAGACUUGUGGCAUUUAUAUAUCUUUAUGGAUUCUACAUUUCAGUAUCAGGAAGGUAAGAAGAACAACUUUAAAUUCACAGAAGGUCUCUUCAGAGUGGGUAUCUCGGUUAUGGUACUCUUGGGAGUGCUUAAGAAGGGAUACAAUGAUUUAUGAGCCUUAGGGUGGUGUGGUUCUAUGCUAAAGUUCGUGGGGCAAGUUUUGGUUGAGGUUAGUAGUGUUCUAGCAAGGAAAGGUAUCAAUUUGAAGGCAAUUCGGAAGGAACUCGGAGAAUUAGAACAGCUUGUAACGGGUUGGAUCAACAUGGUAACGAAUGUGAUUGGCUCCUCUAGUUUUUAUGAUGUAGUGAGUUUCUACAGGUGUUUUGUGGUGAUACUCAUGGGUUUUGACGGCCUGCGUAGCUUGGUCGAAUUAGAGGGAUUCAAUCCUGACAGUUUGUUUAAGUGCAAAUAGAUUUCGAAGAGUUCUUGAUGGUUUCUACCACGGUUUGAGAUGUAUAUUUCCUACUGGUGUGUAGGGCAUGUUGCAUAUUAGGAUUCCUCCUAGAUGGAAUCAAAUGGAAGGAUUCUGGCUGAUUGAACAUAUAUAUUCUACUUGUGACUCAGAGUUGAUUUUGAGAUUUUUAUAUCUUUCAUAUGAUGGCAUAAUGGGUGUGGUAUGUUGUGUAGUAUCGAGAUUUGUAGGUGCAAGGUAACAAUUCGGUUUUGAAAAGAGGUCCUACAUUUUUAGGCAGCAUGGACGAUCUCAGAUGAUUAGAUAUAUGAUAUUACUAUUAGAUAUGGCUUGAUGAGGGUGUAAGUUUCAGAAGGAGCAAUGUGUUUUGAUUUAUGAAUACUUUAUUGGUAUGACAGUACUCUCCUGGUUGAUCGAUUGUUGAUGUUUAAAUUUUGCUUUGUGGCACAGAAGAAUUUUAGAAGUAUUCCUCGUGGGAUGAUCGUGUGAGAGAUGUGUCAGGUAUUCGAGCGGUGGAUUUGGGGACAGAUAUGGUGAUUCGUAUGUUAUGUGGAUUUGGAGACUGGGAGUCCUCAUGAGCAGAUUGUUUCAUGAUUGUGGACUGUGAAGUCCUGACCGAAGCUAGCCAGAUGAUAAUAUGUGUUAUGAUUCACUCAUUGUGGAAUAUCGAGGGUUAUUUAUCUAUUUGUGGGUGACUAGAGCUGAUUUGGGGGUCCAUUGGUAGCCCCAAUUAGGAUGUGUAUUCUAUACCGAGUCGGAUUGGUUGGCUCCAUACUGCUAUUGCUGAGGGAUGUUCCAUUUGGUUGUAGUUGAGCUUAUUCGUGUUCUGAAAUGAUCUGUGAGUUACUCUUCUAUGCUACGAGGAGUUGUGAAUUAUGGGUUAUAAGUACACAUAAUGCGGUUCUAUUGGGGCCUUAUAAUGGAAUUUGAGCGAGAUGAGUAUUUGAGUAUUUGAGAGGAGUUAUGUUCUUUCGGGGUUUGUAUGGCACUGUGUCAUUUGCCUCUUCGUGGUUAUGGUAAUGCACUUUGAGUACUUGAUGUCGAAUUGCGCGUGAUUAUUAAUUUUGAGCAGGGUGGCUUGAGGUAUAUGCCAUGGACCAGUGUUUGGAUGGGGCACGCAUUGCAGCAAAAUUAUAUUGAGGUAUGAACCUUUGUGUUAGAUUCGUGUGAUGGUCCUACAGGGUGUUAUGGAUUUUUAGUAUUUUGUUGUGGCAAUACUUGUUAAGCUUGCGGGCAGUUCUCUCGUUUGAGUCAUUUUUCAUGAUUUGAGUACAUUUGGAUUGUUGCUUAUUGGUGUACGGAUUGCACGGGUUGUGGCUUUAGAUUGUAUUGAUGUGACAUGUCACUAGAAUGAUUGUGUUGGAUGAGAUGAGGUCAUUGGACCUAGAAUAGAUACUAUCGUAAUUGAUUACAACAUAGUUGGAAGUAUAAUAUCAGAAGUCGGCUUAGAAAUUGGCUAUAGUUCUUGUCGAAGGAGGGAGAGUUCCAUGACUUGUUGUUUUGAUAAGUGGUUACGAGUUUCUGCGUGUUUCUUUCAUCAUUGGCAGUGUACAAAGGUUCAGAACAAUAUUUUAGUUGAUAUAAGGUUCGUUACCGGUGUCGAGUUGGUUAUCGAGCAGCCAUUGCGGCCAGAAGUUAUCGCUAUGAGUAUUUGAGUUGUGUGGUAUAUCUUGUGAUUGUGUCGUGGGUCUUGGUUAUGGAUUGUUAUAGCUUGUUCAAACUUAUACAAUGUGUAUAUGCGAUGUUCGGGUCUUGUAGUAAUUUUGGAUGUUGGAAAUUGGAUACUGUGGUUUACGGACUAAGGAUGGAGUAAUGAUAUUCAGUUGUAUGGUAUGGUCGGGCCUAGUUGAAAUAGGGUGACGUGGGAUCACCCCCGAGUAUGUUCCUGGUAAAGUUAAACGGUAAUUUUAUGGCCUUGGGAACAACUCUUGGCACGUUCGAGGACGAACAUAUGUUUAAGUGGGGGAAAAUGUAACGACCCGAACGAUCCUUUUGAGCAUUUUCACUUCGCUCAGUAGUUUGAAGGCACGAGUAGCUCCGUAUGACAUAUUAGAACUGUGUGCAAAAUUUGAGUUCAUUCCGAGUGGAUUUGAUAUGUUUCGGCGCGAGUUUUUGGAAGUCGAAAGUUCAUUAAGUUUGAUUUGAGGCGUAUUUCAUCAUUUCGAUGUUGUUAUGCGUGAUUUGAGGCCUCGAGUAAGUAUGUGCUAUGGUAUGAUACUUGUUGGCAUGUUCGCACGGGGUUCCAAGGGGCUCAAGUGAGUUUUGGAUAGAAUUGGGUUGUGUUGCGCUCGUUUUUCUUAUGUUUCGACGUCGUUUCUUCAAACAUAAAUGGUACCACAUUGAACAAAUGAGUUGCGAUUUCUGUUUUGGUUGAACCAUUAGAUCCGUAUCAUAAUUACAGAUUCGUAGUAAAAAGAAUCGUCGAAUUUGGACAUCUUAUGAAGAUUUUAUGGUCAUUUUACUAAGCAUUGGGUUGCUAGAUUUUUCAGAUUAAUUACGAAAUUGCCACUGACUUCGUAUUCAAAAAUCUGCACUAUUUCUAAAUAUUGAAACCAAAAUAUCGCCUUUAUUAUAAGGUCAAAUAGAGUGAUUCAAAAACAUAUCUUGACUGAAAUUACACAAGGAAUCCAUUGGAAGCAUCAAAAACAAGUUUUGGGAUCAUUUGGCACACAAAACGAGGUAGAACAACUGGGCAAAUGUACUUAAUAUCGAAGGUUUGUUAAUUUGGUCAUAUUUGAGUUGGGGAGCUCGGAUGUGGAUAAUUUAUGGAGGCAAUUUUCACCAUAUGGAUUGGGGUACGUGUUCUAUACUCGAUUUUAGUUAUAUUUCAUGAAUUCAUCUUCGUUUUUGGCAUUUAAUUGAUGAUUUCAAAGUGAAAUUUGAGGGUUUUGUCUAAAAUUUCUUAAUGUGAUUUUUUGAGUUUUGAACAUUGAUUUGAAGUCGGAUUUGAGUGAAACUAGUAUGGUCGGACUUGUAAUUGAAUGGGUUGUCAGAUUUUGUGAGUUUUGUGGGGUUCCGAGCCACGGGCCCGGGUUGGGCUUUUCGGCCGAUUUUGGGGUUUUUGAUUAAAGAUUCGAUCUUUUUCGGUUGGGAUUAGUUCCUUUAGCAUUGUUUGAUGUAUCUUAGUUGUUUUUGGUUAGUUUCGAGCCAUUCAGAGGUCGGAACGCAUGGGAUGAUAUUUUUGGAGCAUCGCUUGGCUUGCUCGGUAUUGGCAUUGGCUUGUUCGAGGUAAGUAACUCUUCUAAACAUAGUGGUGAGGGUAUGAAACUCUGAAUUACAUGCUAUGUGAUUGAUGAUGAGGUGGCGCACAUGCUAGGUGACGGGCGUGUGGGCGUGCACCCUUUGAAUUGUGACUAUGUUGUUUUCACGACACUGUUUAAUGGCCUAUUUUGUUGAUAUAUAUGUUUUCACCAUGUGAUUAAGUAACUGAGCUGUCAAUCAUUCUAAAUAUCAUGUUUAGGCUUUAUGCUGAUAUUGUUAGGACCCAUAGUGGUCAUUUCUUGCUGUCAUCUCACUGGUUUUCAUCGAUAUUUCGUACUCAGUUAUAUUCAUGCAUUUAUAUCAUAUCUCAGUCUCAGUUAUUAUUCAUUGACACAUCAUAUCAUUGUUCCGGGUUAGUCUUCAUGACAUUGUGAGCCCAUGGGUGAGACUGGAGAGAUUAAUGACCGAGUGAGGCCGAGAGCCUGAUUUUGAGUGAUUGUUAUGGGAUCGGGUUGCACGCUGCAGCGAUUAUAUUGAUGAUUAUGAUAGCGCUUGGGCUGAAGGAGCCCCUCCGGAGUCUUUAACACACCCUCAGUGAGCGUAGAUGAUAUUAUUGACGGAUGAAUUUCCCUGGACAUGGAUUUAUCCGAAGUACUUGAUACCUGGAGAUAGAUUUCUCCACAGGGUUGGAUUUCCCUUUUUCCUCGGUACUGGGUGACUUAUAGUUAGUGUUGUAUAUGUUCCGGGAUGGAUUUUACUGGGCCGUAUACAGUUCCGAGUAUUUGAGCACGAUGAGUGGAAAGUGUGAGAUAGUGAGAUUGAGUACUUUAAGAGUGUGAGUACAUGAUUCAUCUCUGAGGUGCAUGGCAUUGGCAUGCACACAUGACAUACAAGCAUAGAGAUGCACUUUUUCUCAUGUUGUACGGUAUCACGUCAUUCAUGAUUUUUCAUACAUAUUGAUAUGUGGGAAUAAAGAGGUAUUUCACACUUGCUAUUUGGAAAGAAAGUGAAACAUCUUAUUUAUUUUGGAAAGGUCUUUGGAAAAAUUAUAGUUUUCAAACUAUCUCACAUUUUUUGACGAUUUCGGUAAAGGAUUUGAAUUUUCACUGAUAUUCUUGAAAAGUGGAACUAUUUCCAAAAACUGUGAAAAAGAGGAGCAUUUAUAUCUCUAAGUUACUUCCUUAUUUAUAUGUUUUACGUUGUUACGAACUGCUACUGGUUAUUGCUAUUGGACCCGACCUAUGUACCAGCUCAUCACUGAUUUCAAUCUAAGGUUAGGUUUGUUACUUACUUACUUACUAUAUGAGGUCGGUUGUACUGAUACUAUACUUCUGCAUAUUACGUGCAGAUGUUGUUGCUAUGCGCGAUGGUUGCCGGAUUUGAAGAUGUACCUGCGUUCCUGUUGUAGCUGCCUCUUGUUCAUGGUAGCCGUAGAAUUAAUAAAACUCUGUUUAUGUAUUUUUCAAAUAGAAGAUGCAUUUACUUCGUAUCAACUUUGUAAACUCUAUUCUUAGAAGCUCAUGAUUUGUACUACCAGUCUUUGAGAAAUGUAUAAGAUUCAGAUAAUUUCUUUUUCUUAAAUUGUCUUAUUAAAUAUUAUUGGAAUUGGAUAAUUAUUAGUAGGCUUACCUAGCCGGUUGAGUUAGGUGCCAUCACUACUAGUAGAUUUGGGUCGUGACAAUAUAUAUAUAAGAUUCUAAAAUGCUAAGCAAAAAGAGACCUUUUAAAUGGGUAUGGUUGAAAUUUAUUGAAAACAUAUAGAUGAGUGAAUAUAAAAAAUUUGAGGAAGAUUGGAGGUGAUUCAGACUGAUUUUGGUAUCAAAAUUCGUAGUUAAAAUCAAGUUCAAAAAGUUCUUCUGUGACACAUGUAUCAAACAUGUAUCACACAUGUAUAUCACAGACAAGUAUACAUAGAUAUACACGUGAUACACAUUUGAUAUAAAUAUGAUACAUAUGUGAUACACAUAUCAUCUUUUUCCAUGUUCGUCUUCUACUUUGAAUUUCCAAUUCAAAAACCUCAAAACUCUACCAAAUCUCAAAAUUGAGAUUUAAACUCCUUAAGAUGUAUCCGAUCUAUUGUAAUAACACCCACUCAAAAUAAAAUAAAAUUUUGAUAUUUUUUUUGCUACAAAUAUCUAAUUGGCUUAUAUUGGUAAUAAUUUAUGAAUUGACUAAUUUUUGUACUCACUUACUUAUGGGCUGACAUAACUAGUAAUUUUCCCAAAUAUACUUCUAACAUUUGCGAUUGUUUUAUAUAGGGAAAAUACAUAAAUACCCCAUUAAACUUAUCCAGAAAAUAUGUUUGAAUACUUAAAGUAAAUGAGUGUUCUUUUAUUCCCCCUUCCCCUUCCUAAACGUAUUGCAUGUGAAUUUUGUUCCACCCUCCAUUACACCAGACUAAUUAAAGACUAUCGAGUGUGGGCCACACUUUUUCUGGUGAUGCCACAUCAUUAAUGAGGUUGGUCAUUUUAAUGAUCCAGUCCUUAACUAAAAAAUCCACCCGAUUAAAAUGCCCAACCCGCAUGUGUUUAAUUUUUAACCUUGUUCUCUUAACCCGACCUCAUUUCUUUCUAAACACAAUGAGAAAAGGCUGAUGAACUCAAAACCUAGUGUUGAUUUUCCCCAAAUCUCGUCGAUUAAAGUGUAGCUACUAAAUAUUGUUGGCUUCUCUUGUAGGUAAUUCUUGUUUUCUUCAAUAUCUUGUCGAUUUUGAAGUGUAAAGAACUGUUGUUUUUCUUCUUUACUGAUUUCAGUUAGAAAAAAUGGCUUUUGAGCUUGUUAUACUGAGGAUCUUCCAUGGAGGUCAGUUACAACAAUGUCCUAUCAACUACAAAGGGGGUAUUAUGAUAGAUUACUUUGAUAUUGAUAUUGAAAGAUUUUCGUAUUAUGAGUUUCUAGAUUAUGUGAAAGAAAAUGGGUAUAAUUGUGAAAUAUAUUUUAUUUGUGUGAGACCACCCAAUUCUAGCACUUUGGUAAAUUUUUUAACAGAUAUGGAUAUUAUGGCUAUUGAGCCUCUGUUAGAAAACUGGGAUAUAUUUGAAGUGUAUGUGUCCCACUUUGUUAGUGAAGCAUUAGUGGUCCCUCCAGCUAUUGAAUGUGUAAGCCAUGUGUGUGGGGAAUCUAUUGUGUCUUUUGAUAAAAGGACAAAUCAAAGUGUUGGGGGUAGUGAAGGUAUAGGGUUUGAAGAACCACAAAAUAGUGUCCCUACUGCUGAUAAUGUGCCCGGUGAGGAUGAGGGUGGUCCUUCUAAUGAUGAUGAUAUUCAUUAGUUGAAUCUGAUGUGGAAAGCAGUGACCAUAGUACAGAUUCAGAACUUGAAGAGCUGUUUGAGGAAGGGGAAGAAAAAUAUGGUAGUGAUGUUGAUGAGGAGUAUAGGAGUUCAAGAGAAGAGAGGAAAAAGGUGCAGAGAAGGAGGAGAAAAGAGAAAUAGGUUGAAACUAGACAUGCCAAGUUAGGUAAAAAGGGUCCAGAUCUAGGAUAUAAUUAGUAUGCAGCUAGGAAGAAGACAUCUUUAGAAAGUAAGAUUGUUGGAGAUGAGCCAUCUUAUUGUCAUGAUCCCAAAUUUCCUUCGUAGGAUGUCGUGAUGGCACUUAGUCUCUAUGACUAGGUAAGCCUAACCGAUUAUAAUAACUUGGCGGAAACAAUUAUCAAAAUACUAAAACAAAGCUGAAUAACUGAUAUAACCUUCCAAAAGAAACCAUAAUCUCAUCAAUACACUCCCUAAGACUGGUAGAACGGAGUCAUAAGCUCUAUAGAAUAAAACUAGAAUAUCUAAGACAUCACUGUCUGAAAGAAAUACAACAACAACAACAACAAUAACAACAACAACAACAAAAAACCCAGUUUGAUCCCAACAGAUGGGGUUUGGGGAGGGUAGUCUGUACGCAGAACUUACCCCUACCUAAUGCAGGUAGAGAGGUUGUUUCCAAUAGACCCUUGGCUCAGGAAGGGCAAGAAGAAGGAGAGGAAAGCAAGGAAGGAAGAAAGAAAGAAGAGAAAAUAAAAUGGGAGAGAUAAAGAUAAGUAGUACAAAAUGAUAGCAACAGGAAAUACAAUACCUGAGGCGAACAAAACCACAUAACGUAAUAAAAAUCUAAGAAUAUGAAGGGACAUGCAUUCUACUAAGACUAUCGAUGAACAAUUAUAAAUUACCUACUAACCUUUUACCUUAAUCCUCGACCUCCACACCCUUCUAUCAAGGGACAUGUCCUCAGUGAGCUGAAAUAGCGCUAUGUCCUAUCUAAUCACCUCUCCCCAGUACUUCUUAGGCAUACCUCGACCUCUUCUCAAACUCUCCAUGGCUAACCUCUCAUACCUCCUGACAGGAGCAUCAAUGCUUCUUCACUUAACAUGUCCGAACCAUCUCAGCCUCGACUCCCACAUCUUGUCCUCCACGGAGGCUACUCCCACUCUAUCCCGGAUAGCUUCAUUCUUAAUCCUGUCUCUCCUGGUACACCUGCACAUCUAUCUCAACAUCCUCAUCUAUGCUACUUUCACCUUCUGCACGUGGAAGUUCUUGUUUGGCCAACACUCAGCCCCAUACAUCAUAGCCGGUCGAACCACCACUCGAUAAAACUUACCCUUAGGUCUUGGCAGCACAUUCCUAUCACAUAAAACACCAGAAGCGAGCCUCUACUUCAUCCAUCCCGCUCCAAUGCGAUGUGCGACAUCUUCGUCAAUCUCCCCGUUACCCUGGAUAAUAGACCUGAGAUAUUUAAAACUUGCUCUCUGAGGGAUAACUUGAGCAUCAAGCUUAACCACUAUGUCUGCAUCAUGGGUCCCGUCACUGAAUUUGCACUCUAAGUAUUCUAUCUUGGUUCUACUCUGUUUGAAACCUUUAGACUCCAAGGUCUGUCUCCAAACCUCUAACCACGCGUUAACUCUACUACGCGUCUUGUCAAUCAACACUAUAUCAUCGGCAAAUAGCAUGCACCAAGGCACCUCACCUUGGAUGUGUUACGUUAGUACAUCCAUCACCAAGGCAAAUAAAAAUGGGCUAAGAGCCGAUCCCUGGUGCAACCCCAUCACCACAGGGAAAUACUCCGAGUCACCACCCACAGUCCUCACCCUGAGUCUUAGCAUCAACAUACAUAUCCUUAAUCACCCUAAUGUACGCUACCGGAAUGCCGUUAAACUCUAAACACCUCUACAGGACCUCCCUCAGGACUUUAUCGUAUGCUUUCUUAAGGUCAUCUAAAAGAAAUACAAUAGGAAAUAAAAUAGGGAAGGGGCUCCGAGGCUUAUGGAUGCCGAGCAGGCAUACCUUGAAGUCUCCAUAAGGCAGCUACGAAUGAUCUCUAAUGACCGGCCCAAGCAAACGUACUUGGAUCUGCACAAAAAUAUGCAGAAGCGUAGUAUGAGUACACCACAUUGGUACCUAGUAAGUAUCAAUCCUAACCUCAGUAGAGUAGUGACGAGGCUAGGUCAAGACACAUACUAAGAUAUAAAUAGACAGUAUGAAAAUGUAAUAAGGGCAAAUAAUGAAAAGUGGAGAAAUAAUUGAUACAAGCCAAGAUAAUAACAUGAAUUAAAAUGGAAGUUUAACAUGGAAAUAGAAUAUAAGAAACAACUAAGGAGAUUACAAUGAUCAUAUACGGGCAACAACUUCUAGAACAAUAAAGAAUGAAACAACAAGAAAUAUUCCUACCAAAAGUCUUUGCAACAUGAAAUAAACAGUAAGAAUUACAAUGAGUUACUGCCUCGUGUACAAUAAAAUCACAACCGAGGUACUGCCUCGUAUAAUCAAGAAUCACAACUAAGGUAUCGCCUCGUAUUCACAUUUCUCAAUUUCAAUCACAAUUUUUCCUUAUAUCGCCGCGUGAGCCUUACAUUUGAAAUGGAUUUUGAAAAUAGUUUUCCGAAAUAGCUACUCGCACUUUAGCUCACCUUAUGACAUUGCAUGGCUUCACGUAGUUUCCCUACAAGCAACAUGCACAUAAAUCCUACCUUAUACCGCCGCAUGCACAUCAACCCCAAGCCUUAUAGCGCUGCAUGCGCAUCAAAUUCACAUUACCAUAACAACUCCCACCACAAGUACCCAUAUAUCACAAUUUUCCAACAAUCCACAAUAUCAACAUUUCCACAAUAAUAGCCCAUGGCUCCUCCACAUCGGGUACAAGAAUAUCAACAACAACAAUGAAUGUAAAAUGCUCAAAAGGAAGAUGUUUCAACAAUAACAAUUUCGCCUCAACGUGAUAACGACUUUCACAACUUCAUCACCAAUAACUCAACAACAUGUAACCACGACGUUAAUUAAGAAUAACUCACAAUGGAAGAGAUAACAUGUACCAAUGACUUCAUAUAAUGGAAAUCAAUAAUGAAAGAGAUAACAUGAACAAUAACUUCAAAUAAUGGUAAUCAACAAUGAAAGAGGUAACAUGAACGAUAACUUCAAUUAACGAUAAUCAACAAUGAAAAAGAUAACAUGUAUAAUGACUUCAAAUAAUGAUAAUCAACAAUGAAGACAUAGCAUGUAACAAUAAAGGAGGCAACAAGUUCAACUAAAGCAUGAGAGCAAUUUAUCAAUUAGGAUGUAGAACAAGUGUUAAUGAAAUCAUAUGAGGCAUAUAAGGAUAUACUAACACAAGUAAGAAUAGAUUGAUUAGGAGAAUAUAGAACAUGAUAUGGCAUUUCAAUUAAAGCAUGGAAAUAGUCUAAGUAGCCUAAACCGGUCAAAUACCAUGCACAACCCGUGUACCCACUCGUCACCUUGCGUACACGGAUUUCACGUAGCACAAUUGAAUCAAACAAUAACAAUCCUAAGGAGUAGUUCACCCACACGAAGUUAAGCAAGACACAUACCUCAACUAGGCCAAAUCAACACUAAGAAAUAGCUUUUUCCUUAAAAUCCACAUCCACACGACCCUAAUCUAACCAAAAUCGACUUAAUAUCAUCAAACAAUGCUAGGGAAUUCAAUUGCAAUAGAUAAAGCUAAGAUAUUAACACCUUUUUUUUUAAAAAUUAACAAAAGUCAACCCCGGAGCUCUCCCGGUCAAAAUCCGGGUCUAAUGGUAGAUUCUGUCUAUCCAUGAACCACGAGUUCAUAUAUGUGAUUAGUUUCAAAAUCCGAGUCCAAAUCGACUCUCAAAACUCAAUUUCUUAUUUUUCAAAAGCUUGACAAAGUUUCAAAAUUUUUCACUUUGAUUGACAUAAUUUUGAUGUUAAAAUCUAAGAUAUGUUGAUGGAAUAUGAUUAGAAUCACUUACAAAAGGUUUGUAUGUGAAAAUCUCAUCUCCAAAUCGCCUCCUACCGAGUCUAGGGUUAAAAAAUGAGAGGAUGAGAGCUAAAAUCCCGACUUUCAGCCCUUAUAUUCAGUUGUAGUUAUCACAAUUGCGAUAUGGGUUCGCAAAUGCGAAGAAAAUCUCGCAAUUGCGGCAUUGACAUGCAUGAGAAGCUCUUUGUAAAUGCGAAGAUGGGUUCACAAUUGCAAACCUUGCUGGCCUCGGAAUUGCUUCAAAAACCAUCGCAAAUGCGAACCUAGCCCAGCCCAGAAUUUCUUUGCAAAUGUGAGUUCCCUACGAUGGUCGCAAAUGCCACCCUAGUGUUCACAAUUGUGACACCAGAGGGCACCACACACUAGUCUUUGAAAAAUUCAGUCCAGCACACUCCGAAACAUCUUCGAAACUCAUCCGAUCCCCCCGGGCUCCAAACCAAACAUUCACACAAGUCUAAAAAUAUCAAACGAACUCACUCGCGUGAUCAAACACAAAAAUAACAUCUAAAACUACGAAUCGAACACUAAAACGCAUGAAUUUCAAAGUAAUGUACAAGAAUUUCUAAAAUUACAACUAAGCAUCCGAAUCCUAUCAAAUUAACUCCAAACGAUAACAAAUUUUACAGGAAAGUUCUAAAUACCAUAACAGACCUAUUCCAAGUCCCAAAAUGUAAUUCCGAGCUCAAUAGCUCAAAGUCAACCUACGAUCAAACUUUUCAACUUCAAAUUAUCAAAUUUCGGCAAAAUCAACAUAAAGCAACCUAUGGACAUCCAAAAUCAAUUCUGGGCAUACUUCCAACUCCAAAAUCAUGAUACGAAGCUAUCGAGCCAUAAAAAUACAGUUCUGUGGUCAUUUCCGCAAAAGUCAAAGUUUGGUCAAAAUUUUCUAAUUUAAACUUCUAGGUCAAGAAUCAAGGGUCCAAAUCAACCUGAAAGUUUCCCGGAACGAGUUUAACCGACCCCGCAAGUUAUAAAACCAUAAACACAUAUGUAUGAAGAAUCGAAAGGGUAAACAUGACGAAAUUACACAAACGACCGAUCAGUUCGUUACAUUUUCCGCCUCUUAAAACAAACGUUCGUCGUCGAACGUGCAUAAGGACAUACCUGAAGUGGUGAAUAAAUGAGCAUAACGACUCCACAUGUCGUGCUCGGUUUCCCAAGUCACCUCCUCUACCGGAUGACCCAUCCAUUGAACCUUCACUGAUGUAAUGUUCUUUGAUCUCAACUUCCGGACCUGCUUGUCCAAGAUAGCUACAUGUUCCUCAAUAUGAGUCAAAUCCUCGUCCAAUUGGACUGUGUUGAAGUCUAGAACAUAAGACGGAUCACCGUAAUACUUCCAAAGCAUAGAAACAUGGAACACUAGAUUAACCACAGAUAAACUAGGUGGCAGAGUAAGCUUGUAGGCCACCUCUCCAAUCUUCUCAAGGAUCUCAAAAGGUCCGAUAUACCUAGGGCUCAACUUGCCCUUCUUCUCGAACCUCAUCACACCUUUCAUGGGAAGCAAGACUCGCUCUCCAACUAUGAAUGCAACAUCACAAACCUUCUGAUCCGCAUAACUUUUCUGUCUAGAUUGGGUUGUACAAAACCGAUCCUGGAUCAUCUUGACUUUCUCCAAAGUAUCUCGAACCAAAUCCAUGCCUAAUAACUUAGCCUCUCCCGGCUCAAAUCACCCAAUUGGAGAACGACACCGUCUCCCACAUAGAGCCUCAUAUGGAGCCAUUUGAAUGCUCGAUUGGUAGUUGUUAUUGUAGGAAAACUCUACAAGUAGCAAGAACCGAUCCCAAGCACCGCCGAUAUCCAUAACACAGGGUGCGAAGCAUAUCCUCCAAUAUUUGAAUAGUGCGCUCGGACUGUCCAUUCGUCUGAAGGUGAAAUGUUGUACUCAACUCAACCCGUGUGCCAAGCUUACGUUGUACAACUCUCAAGAAAUGCGGUGUGAACUACGUACCCCGAUCAGUGAUGAUGGAUACAGGUACUCCAUGAAGUUGGACAAUCUCAUGGAUAUAAACUUAAGCCAGCUACUCUGAAGAACUGGUAGUCACUGCUGGAAUGAAAUGAGUCGACUUGGUCAACCUGUCCACAAUCACCCAUACCACAUCAAAUUUCUUCUAAGUCCAUGGGAUCCCAACAAGAUGUCCAUAGUGACACGCUCCCAUUUUCACUCGGGAAUCUCAAGUCGCUGAAGCAAACCACCCGGCUACUGAUUCUCAUACUUCACCUACUGACAAUUUAGGCACCAAACUACUUACUCCACUAUGUCUUUCUUCAUACUCCUUCACCAAUAGUGCUGCCUCAAGUCUUGAUACAUCGUAGCAGUACCCUGAUGAAUGGAGUACCGCAAACUGUGGGCCUCCUGAAGAAUCAACUCACGCAAACCAUCCAUGUUAGGCACACAUAGACGGCCCUGCAUCCGUAAUGUACUGUCAUCUCCAAUAGAAACCUCCUUGGCAUCGCCGUGCUGAACCGUGUCCUUAAGGACAAGCAAAUAAGGGUCUUCAUAUUGUCACUCUCUAAUACGAUCAUAUAGAGAAUACCGAGAAACCAUGCAAGCAAGAACUCGACUGGGCUCCGAAACAUCCAAUCUAACAUAUUGGCUGGCUAAGGCCUGAACAUCCAAUGCUAAUGGCCUCUCCGCUACUGGUAGAUAUGCUAAACUACCCAAACUCUCCGUAUUUCGACUCAAGGAAUCAACCACCUCACUGGCCUUCCCAAGAUUAUCAUAGUCCUUAAGUAACUAUAACUACCUCCACUGUCGCAAGUUAAGAUAUUUCUGCUUGAAUAGGAUAUUGUAGACUCCGAUGGUCGGUAAGGACCUUACAAGUAUCUAUACAUAUAAUGCCACCAGAUCUUCAAUGCAUGAACAAUGGAUGCCAACUCCAAGUCGUGGACUGAAUAAUUCUUCUCAUGGGUCUUUAACAGUCUAGACACGCAGGCAAUCACCCUACUAUCUUACAUCAACAUCACACCAAGGCCAACACGUGAUGCAUCACAGUACACAAUAUAAGACCCCGAGCCUGUAGGCAACACCAACACUAGGGAUAUAGUCAAAACAGUCUUGAGCUUUUGAAAGCUCUCCUCACACUCCUCAGUCCAUCUGAACAGAGCACCCUUUUGGGUCAAUCUAGUCAUACGUUCAACAAUAGAUGCGAAACCCUCUACGAAAUGACGAUAAUACCCAGCCAAACCAAGGAAACUUCGAAUCUCAGUAGCUGAACACGGUCUGGGCUAACUCUACACUACUUCAAUCUUCUUCUGAUCUACCUUGAUCCCCUCACUCGACACCACAUGACCCAAAAAUUCCAUCGAAUAAAGCCAAAAUUUACACUUUGAGAAAUUUGCAUACAACCACUUUCUCUCAUUGUCUGGAGCACCAUCCUCAAGUGCUGCUAUUGAUCUUCCCGACUGCGGGAGUACACUAGGUUGUCGUCAAUAAACAUAAUGAUGAAGAAAUAAAGAUAAGGCUAGAAUACACUUUUCAUCAGGUGCAUAAAUGCUGCUGGGGCAUUGGUCAACCCAAAUGACAUCACAAAGAAUUUGUAGUGACUAUACCGAGUCCUAAAGGCAGUCUUCGGAAUAUCCGGAUCCCGAAUCCUCAGCUGAUGAUAACCUGACCUCAAAUCAAUCUUUGAGAACACUCUGGCACCCUGUAGCUGAUCAAAUUAGUCGCCAAUACCUGGCAAUGGAUACUUGUUGAUCCACGUCCAAUCCGCACUCAAUAGUGAGUGAAAACGAUCGUUGGAAGAAUAGUAUCCAACACGAGUCGGGGUCAAUUUUCACAGGGAUUUUAAUAUGGGUGUUAGGGUGUAUACUUGAUGAGAGUAAAUGAAGUAACUCAAUUACACUUCCAAACAAGGGAUUUUGUUUUCUACUUCAAAUUUAACACUAGCAAUUGUAAACUAAUGAGAAGAAACUAGAAAGCAAGUAAUUGUUUUUGUUGUUUUUACCAAAUGGUUAAAAGGACUAGGGAUGAAACCUUCACCUAGUAUUCGCCUAAUGGGUUAAGUAUGUUACCACUUAUUUUAUUGACCGGGAUGUAUUAUAACUUUCAACUCUGAGUUACCCACUCAAUACCUCUCGAUCAUAGAGUGAUUUUGCCUAAUUUUGCUUUCUUAAGCCCAAAUGAGUAUCAAGCUAAAUACUUGAUAUGAGCUCAAGUCGGGUUUUCCCUAUCUCUAUCUAAAACCCUUUUAUUAGGCUAAUCAAAUCCUUAACUAGCCCAAUUUCUUAUUAGCCAAGUUUUCCUAGACUAAGUUCCUUUUUCUCAAGUAAAGACCAAGUCAAAAAGGCAUGAAACAAUGUUUGCAACUAUUAAUUCUAUAACUAAAGCAUAAACAAGGCGGAAUAACAAACACCCAAUCAUAAAAAAAUAUUAAAUUAAAUACCCAUAAGGUUUACACACUAGGGUUGAGUUACAACCCUAGUAAAAGUCUAGCUACUCAUAGUAGAAAAUGAAGAAAACAAAGAAGAAAUACUAAUUAGACCCAUAAUAGAAAAUUAAAAUGAUAAACUAUGAUGUUUUAAUCCCAAAAUGAUCACAAAUUUCCUAAAAUGGAAAACUACAACGGCUACAGUUGCUAGAACUUCCAAACUUGACCUAAAAAUGUGAUUCCCAUCUUUUUAUAGUGGCCUAAAAUUUGCUAACAAAAAUGCCCCUCGCGAGGUCCUGCGGCAGUACAAUUCCAUGUGUAGUACGCACAUUGCUUGAAUUUGCAACGAACUGGAUUUUGCAGCCGCACAAUUUGGUAUACGACUGCGAUUUAGCUUUUGCGGCUGCACAAUUUAUGUGCGGGCUGCAUAAUUUAUGUGCGGUCCACACAUUAGGAGAGCCUUUAAGUCUUGGUCAAUUGCACACUCCCUGAACCUUUUGAAUUCUUGUUAGUACGGACCAUGUUCUGCGGCCGCACAAAUUGUACGUAGUCCGUGCCUUUACUUCAAGUACUGCUGGGCUUCUUCAUCAGUUCUGCGGACGCAGAGGAAUUCUGCGGUCCACACUUGCUUCUGCGGCCGUAUAAAUACUUCUACGGACUAUACCUCUUGUGUGCUGUGCCCCUUCUUUCCUUGUGUGUCGGAACACUCCUUUUUGAUUUGGAUUUCUUCAUAAGAGCCCAAAUUUCGAACAUUCUUGCAAUUUGCACACUUUGUUAGUUUUGGGAAAUAAAUCAAUACUUUCAGGCUAAAACAAAAGUAAAAAAGUACUAAUAAAUGGUCAAAAUCCACACUUAUCAACUCCCUCAAACUUGAGUCUUUGCUUGUCCUCAAGCAAAUAGAUUAGUUCCCACCUCCUCAAAGUGAAAGGUCAUUUCAGCGAGUCAAUGGUGAGCCAUUCAUACUCAGUUGGGACCAACAAUUACCCAUACUACUCAUGAAUUAUCAACAAUAUUCAUGCACAUAUAGGUCAAACGUGACAUUUGAGCUUCAAAAAUUGACUUUACUCAUCAAAGACUCUUGUUCUAUCAUGUAGGUCAUGGUGGACUCCAAACUCUUCCUCGUCUACCUUCUAUUUGCCAAUAUCACUUCAAAAGUUAGCACUCAAUCUUAAUAUUCAUUAAAGGAUCACUCUUCUCUCCCAAGAGAAUGUCACAAGUACGGCUUCAAGUAUCAUAGGCUUGCCCCUUAUGUAGAUCACCACUAAUUUAAACUCGGUUCAAAAUAAAGUAGGACUUCUUUCGGGUUGUAAUGAAGACUUUUGGAUUAGGGUAGGAUACCUUAUGGGUACGUGGUUACACCUUUCCUUAAGCACUCCACAUUUUCAUUUCUCGGCUCACAAUUACCAAUUCUUAGAGGCAUUCUCUUUUUUUUUUAUUAUUAUUGGGGGUUAGAGAAACUUGACAUCAUUCUUUCUUGUUCAUUUCAUUCUUUGUUUUCUCCCUCAUGCUUAUGUUAGGGAUCAUUACCUCUUUUUGAAUCCAUCAACUCUUCCCCUUAUUCUUUUUUUUUUUGCAUUUUUCUUUUUGUUCUAUUUCUUUUCUUGCCUUCUCUUUUAAUAGAGAUCAUUUUUUUUCUCUUUUUGUGCCUUGAUACCUUUUUCAAAUUCCUCAUCUCUCCCCCAAACUUAUGCGUUAAGCCACUUAUUUCACAAGAGUGUUAAGGAAAGUUCGGGUGCCAAGAGAAGAUCACGACAAAACGGGUAAAGGCUUAUUAUAUGGUUAUCAAAUCAGAAAGGCUAAAGGCUCAAAGGGGUUGACUAGGGAUAGUGACGUUGGUUGGAAAUAGAAAACUCAAACGGACCAAGCAAAGCCUACAAUCAUUUCUCAAACCAAGCAAAACUUAGGAUUUUGUCUUGAAGCACAUUCGGGGCAAAUUCUAGACCAUUCGUACGGAUGCUUGGACUAGCAACAAAUCAUCUCACCCGUCACGCAACUAGAACAUAAAAGAGGAUAGAGUCGAGAACCUACAACAAACACAAUUAAUUUUAAAGAUAACUAUGGUCCAAUAAACCACUCGAUGAUUGCCAAAGUCAACUCAAGAGUCUCAUAGUCACUAACUAGAGCUAUUUUCUUCCAAAAACCUUGUUUCGAACCACAAGUACGUAGUUAAGUGUGUUGGUACCAAAUGAAACAUGAGUAACUCUUUUUUGAGAAUGAAUUGAUUUGACCUCUUAUUCAUUACUACUACUAUUAUUCCCUAAACACAAAAACAGACUCAUUCCCUUAAGAAGGUUGUCAUGCCAUCCAUUGUUGGGACGAGUCACCCGGUUCACACAAAAACUAUCUUUGAAAAGAACCGUGGUGUUAAGAAAACCAAAGGCUUAUUAUCUACGAAAGCGUCAAAAGAAGCUACUAACAAAACAAGAACUAUAGUGAAAAAUAAAGAAGCUAAUGAACAAUAACUACUAAAGAUAGAUAAAUACAAAUAAGAAAAGGAAGAGAAUCAUCAAAUUAUUACAGUCCAAAUGUAUUCAAAAUGUGUCAAUGUAUCAAUCUAACUCCACCUCCCCCCUCUCGAAUAAAAGUAAGCAUUGCCCCCAAUGCUUAAAAAAAUAAGAAUGAAAUAAGAGAGGGAAAGAAAAACUCCCUAAGGAUCCUUGGACAUCUCAGUGUCCCCGAAAAUAUCAUUUCCCGCCAAGUUAGCCAACUAUAUCAUCAUCAUCAUCAUCAAAUUUGGGCGUGGCUGGAGUGGUGAACAUCACACGCACUGCCUCAACAGUGUUGGCUGCAAGGUCUGGCUCCUCAGACUGGCCAGCUGGUGCAACCGGUGUGGAUGGUGCCAAUGGAUCUGGGGCUGAAUAGUGCGGGUCAAGUAGCAUAUCAAAAGGUAGGUCCCCAGCUGUCGCAAGUCUAGUCACCUUCUUUAUGAGCUUGUCAACUGAUUUCUUGCUUGCUUGGGACUUCCUUAUCUUCUUCACUUCUUUUUCCAACUCCUCAAUAACCGACCCGUGCUUCACCAAGGUGUCCAUGAUCAUCUACUGGUUGUAUAGAAUCUUCUUGAGCAUCUCAUCAAUGUUAGAGGAUGCCUGUGGUGCCUGUGUAGUGACUGCGCUGCAACAGUACUAGAUAAGUCAAACAACUUUAAAGUAGCUAUCUACAUCUAGUUGUUGAGACUUGCCAAUAUCUGGGAGACUCACAGAGCAGAUAAUGAAGUUGUAGGGAUAAGCACUAACCUCAAAGCUGGAGUAAAGGAUGCCCUAGGGGUCGUGGUAGGAGCUGAGGAUGAUGGCAGAUGCAUAACACUAGCACUAGAAGAGAGCUCAGCAAAGGUGGAUGGAAGGUCAGUUGUCUCAGAAACUACCAGUGCCGGCUCAUCAGACGGGCCUGUGGUGGUAGAAGGCUAGGCUUUCUUCUUUAAGUUGGUCUCAUCCAUCAGUGAAUACCAUUCAAAUGGCUUAUUUGGCUUUACCUUGGUAUCAAAUGAUCUCGACUCUACCUUAGCAUCAGUGAGGUAUUCUGUGAUAAUGUUGGGAUAAGGGUAGGCCGAGCUAGCCUGCUGUGCUAUCAGUGAAAUGUUGGCUGACAUCAUGGCACCCAAAUUAAUUAGGUACCCGACCAUGAUGGAAUCCACAAGAACAACCCAAGGAAUAGGUAGAUGAGUCUCUUCUGACAAUGAUCUAGUCUGCUACAAACAAAGGUCUGCCACCCCUUCGCCUUGAAGCUCAUUGUGUUCCGCUGAAUGGGAACCCCAAUUGUAAUCCAUGGUGGUGGUGGUCCUGGUGGUGCUAAGAUCUCAGCCGACCAAGGUCGGACUUCUUCCUUUAUUGCAUAUUUCUCCAAGCACUCCUUUGGCUCCACGUCUUCAAAUCCCAAGUACACGUUUAACGUAUACUGAUCAAACCUCACCUUGAGGUUGCGUACUUUGGUCACCUUCGUCCCCUUCUUGAUGUAGCAACAUUUGCAUAGAACUCUCAGACAAGGUAUUCCUUUGCAUCCUCAACACUCUUAGUAAACCACAUCCAACCCUUUCUUGCUCUAAACUGCCUCAAGAUCGCUGUGUUGUAUUUCUCCAAAUCCUUCAAUAGGAACUGUCUCACAAGUGUCAAAGACCUCACUGGCCACCACAUACAAAAAUUAGUGAAGGCAACCAAGCUGACAAACCUAUCCUCCCAUACCCCUUUGUUCUUUGAUCUCUCUACACUCGUAGCUGUACCAUCUCCCCUUCUAUCGUCAUUGGGAUCUCUUGAACAGUUUGUGCCUUUGGUGUAGCUGCUGGCUCAGAGGCCUGGCUAACACUCUACAACCCCUCAGAGGUGCUGUGAGAUGAAGAGGGCUCAUCCUUGAGCUGGUAUCGCUCUUGUAGCCUAGACUAAGUGGUUGUCUACUCCCCUGAAUAGAGGCUGAGUUUCCCUCUCAUACUUCCCUAGACGGGACAUAGGAAUUAGACACAGAGAGGUCUGCAACUCUCCCUCUGCCUGCUGUGGAUUUCUUUUAGAUGGUUUUGGGCUGGCCAAGGGGAAAGUUACCUCUACCUCGACCCUUGGAAGAUUUACCUCUUGCCUUUAUAUUGUCGCCUCGACCUCAUGAUCGCACCAAUGUCUGUGUCAAAGCAACGAAGAUUGUAAGUUGCAAUUCAUCAUUCAACACCUUCAAGACUUAUGUAGGGGGGAGGGAAUUAGACACAGUGGGGUUGUGAGUAACACAGGUCUGUAGGUAAUGGGUUCUGCGGUCCGUAGAAUUUGGUUGUGCAGUAGUAGAAAGGAAGUGCGGUCCGUACAAUUGCAAGUGCAUCCGCACUUCAGACUUUUCAAAGUUCAGAGUCUCAAAAGACAGUGUGAUGGCUGAUAUACGACCUUAAGAGAAAUCUGCGGUCCGCACAUUUUAAAUUGCGGCCGCAGAUCCCUUGCUUCACUAAGUUGCCCAGACCUCCUAAUCUGUGGUCCACACAAAUUCAAGUGUGGCAGCAAAUUUUAAAAAGUACGAACAAUCAUAUUUUUUCUACUUAGUUUUUUUCGUUUCUUGCACAAAUAAACAUGGUAAAAAUAUGAAAUUUUACUAACCCAAUCCCACUAGAGCAUGUAUUAUGAUUACCAGUUUAGAUCUACCCCACAUGGAUACAUGGAUGAACUCUAAUAAUAGAUGGUCCAAAAAGAAACUAAACUUCUAAAAAUUAAACUAAUACAAAAAUUUAACAAGAAUUGAAGCAUACCAGAUAGAGUGAGUGCAACGGGUGAAUAUUCACAGGUGGUUGUGUGUGGGGAUAGCUAAAAUCUCUCAUGGAAAUCAACAGAGCAACAAUGUUUGUUCGGAGAAGGAAAAGUGUAAAAUGAUCACUAUUCUUCUAUUUAUACCAAGUGAUUGAAAAAAGGAAAAGAGUUAAGUGCGGACCGCACAUUCUGUCAUCUGGGUUGAAAGUCUCUGAUCUCAAUAUGAGGUCCGCACAUUUUUAGGUACGUCCACAGAUUUCACAUACGGUCAUAGAUCAGCCUCCACACUGAUAGGCUCAAACUUUAGAGAGUUAACAUUUUGAUACUUUUUCAUUAUUCCAAACAUGCGGUCCGUAUGAGAAAUGUGCGGCCGCGAUUCCUUUCAGCUGUGGCACAUAUAAUUGUGCGGUCCGCACAAAUAAAGUAUGGUCCGCAGAUCAUUUGAACACUUAGACAUAUUUUUGUUCACCUUUCUUGCAAGUCACACUCAUCCCUGUAGCACACUUCAAGUCAAGUUAGAACACAAAUAACACCUAACUACAAAAAAAGGAAAAGAACAUGGGUUGCCUCCCAAGAAGCGCCUGAUUUAACGUCGCAGCACGAUGCAAAAUACCCUCAAGUGAAGUGAAUGACUGCCACCACGUGGCUAUCUUUAACCUUGCCCAAGUAAUGCUUAACCCGGUGAUCAUUGACUUGAAAUACUUCAUUGUUUUUGUUCUUCAAGUCUAAUGCACCAAAAGACGUCACAUCAACAAUUUCAAAUGGACCACUGCACUUGGAUUUUAGCUUCCAAGGAAACAUUCUCAACCUUGAGUUAAACAACAAUACAAGAUCCUACACCUUGAACUCUUUGUUCCAAAUGUAUUUGUCAUGAAGAUAUUUCAUCUUUUCUUUGUACAGUGACGAACUCGCAUAUGCAUGGUACCGAAACUCAUCCAAUUCAUUCAAAUGUGCAACCCUCAAGUUAUCGACUACAUCCCAAUCAAUAUUCACCUUUUUUAGAGCCCAUAUUGCCUUGUACUAUAUUUCCACGGGAGACGAUAAGCUUUUCCGAACACCAACCUGUAUGGUGACAUUCCGAUAGGUGUUUUGUAAGCCGUCUGAUAAGCCCAUAAUACAUCAUCAAGAUUCUUAGACCAAUCCGUCCGAUUAGCAUUCACUAUUUUAGACAAGAUACUCUUUAUCUCCCAGUUGAAGACUUCCACUUGCCAAUAGGUUGUGGAUAAUAGGGAGUCGUGACUUUGUAAGUAACACUAUACUUGAUUAGUAAAGUGUCAAAAACUUUGUUGCAAAAGUGUGACCCCCUAUCACUUAUGAUUGCACGUGGAGUAUCAAACCUUGUGAAGACAUUGCUCUUCAAGAAGGCCACUACACUUCUCGCCUCAUUGUUGGGUAAAGCGGAGGCCUCAACCCAUUGGGACACAUAAUCCACUGCCACUAAGAUAGAGGUGUUUCCGCAAAAACUCACAAAAGAGCUCAAGAAGCUAAUGACCCAAACAUCGUUAAUACCAAUCUUCAAGAUGGUUGGGAGGGGCAUUUAAUUUUUCUUUGAGAUUCCACCGGCCCGUUGACAUUCAUCACAACGUUUCACCAACUCGCUAGCAUCCUUGUAAAGAGUAGGCCAAUAGAAACCACAACUAAGCAUUUUGGCUGCCAUUCUUGCUCCCCCACGAUAACCACCAUAUGGCGAAGAAUGAAAAGCCCCAAGAAUAAUACCUUGCUCUUCUUCCGGCACACACCUCAUAAUCACCCCAUUCGUACAAAUCUAGAAAAGGUAUGGUUCAUCCCAAUAAUAAUCUUGACAAUCCCUUUUGUGCUUCUUCCUUUGGCUUGAAGAGAACUCAUCCGGAAUGAUUCCACACACAAGAAAAUUUGCUAAGUCCAUGAACCAUGGCACCUCUUUCAUUGAAUUUGCCAAAAGUUGCUCAUUGGGGAAGGAGUCAUUGAUUUCAAGGCCAUCAUGCCGCCUCCCCCCUCCUCCAAACGAGACAAGUGGUCCGCCACUUUGUUUUCACUACCUUUCCUAUCUUGGAUGUUAAUAUCAAAUUCUUAUAACAAGAGUACCCAUCUCAUCAACUAAGCUUUGGAGUCCUUUUUGUUCAUAAGAUAACAAAGCACCGCAUGAUCCAUGUGGACAAUAACUUUUACACCUAUCAAGUACGGGCAUAACUUUUCAAUUGCAAACACAAUAGCAAGGAGCUCUUUCUCCAUGACGAUAUAGUUGACUUGGUCACUAUUCAUGGUCUUACUAGCAUAGUAGACCAGAUGGAAAAUCUUGUUGAUAUGUUGCCCCAAAAUAGCCCCAACCUCUACAUUACUUGCAUCGCACAUGAGUUCAAAAGGCACACUCUAAUUUGGAGCAGUGAUGAUAGGAGUAGUUCUCAACUUGAGCUUCAACAAUUCAAAAGCUCUCAUGCAAUCAUCAUUGAAAUUAAACUUUACAUCCUUCUCAAGAAUCUUGCACAACGAGUUUACCAAUUUAUAGAAGUCUUUGAUAAAACGCCGGUAAAAUCCUGCAAGGCCUAAGAAACUCCGCACACCCUUCACUGAAGUUGGGGGUGGAAGCUUAGAAAUCACCUCAAUCUUUUCCUUGUCAACUUCAAUUCCAUUCUUUGAGAUUUUAUGGCCAAGGACAAUACCUUCCUCAAUCAUGAAAUGAUAAUUCUCCCAAUUGAGUACCAAAUUGGUUUCUUCACAUCUAGCCAACACGUUGUCCAAAUUUGCAAGACAAUCGUCAAAAGAAUCCCCGACUACCGAGAAGUCAUCCAUGAAAAUUUCAAGGUUGUCCUCCACCAUGUCCAUGAAAAUAACUAUCAUACACCUUUGAAAAGUUGCCGGUGCAUUUCACAAACCAAAUGGCAUCCGCUUGAAAGCAAAAGUACCAUAUGGACAUGUAAAUGUUGUUUCUUCUUGAUCUUUCGGAGCAAUAAGAAUUUUGUUGUAGCCCGAGUACCCAUCAAGAAAAUAAUAGAAAGCACGUUCGGUCAAUCUAUCGAGCAUUUGAUCUAAGAAAGGAAGUGAAAAGUGAUCCUUCCUUGUUACUUCGUUGGUCUUGCGAUAAUCCAUACACACCCUCCUAACGGUCACCAUUCUUGUAGGAAUUAAUUCAUUCUUUUCAUUGGUGACCACCGUCAUGCCCCUUUCUUUGGAACACAUUGAACCGAAGAACUCCAUAAACUAUCAGAGAUGGGGAAGACAACCCUGGCAUCCAACCACUUGAUAAUCUCCUUCUUGACAACUUCUUGCAUAGCGUCAUUGAGUCUUCUUUGAUGUUCAAUAUAUGGUUUAUCUCCAUCCUCCAACUUGAUCUUAUGCAUGCAAAAGGCGAGGCUUAUACCCCGAAUAUCUGUCAAAGUCCACCCAAUAGCCUUCUGCCUCUUUUGUAGCACCACCAAUGUGGAAUCUACCUGCACGUUAGUCAAAUAAGAGGAAAGAAUAAAUGGUAAAAUAGAACAAGGGCCAAGAAAUUCAUACCGAAGAUGUGGAGUCAAUGACUUCAACUCUAAGUAAGGUGGCUCUUCAAUAGAAGGCUUUGUAGGAGGAGUCUUCCUAUUUUCAAGAUCCAAUGACAAUUUCCGGGGUGCAUAGUUGUACGACCCCAUUCCAUGCAAAGAGUUCACAUAUUUCAUGAAGCUAUCCAUCUCGUCAUCAUCAAAAUUGAGCAAGACGGCCUCCAACAUAUCACUAGCAUUUAUUGUAGAACUUGUAUCAUCAACAAUGACAUCGGUCACCAAAUCCAUAAAAGAACACACCUCAUUGCUAUUUGGUUGCCGAAUGGACUUACAUACAUGAAUACCACUUUUUCAUCACCAACGCAAAAUAUGAGUUCUCCAGAUUUAACAUCACAAAGAGCCUUACAUGUAGCAAGAAAAGGUCUCCCAAGAAUAAUUGGCACCUUAUAAUCAACUUCACAAUCUAGAAUGACAAAAUCCGCCGGAAGAAUGAAUUUAUCAAAACAGACAAAAACAUCUUCAAUCACACCCAAAGGCCUUUUCAUGGUACAGUCAAACAUUUACAUCUCAUAGAGAUAAGUCUUGGUUGCCCAAUACCCAAAGUCUUGAAAACUGAAUAGGGCAUCAAAUUUAUACUUUCCCCAAGAUCACAAAGAGCUUUAGCAAACUUUGCACUUCCAAUUGUAUAAGGAAUCGUGGAAGCACCAAGAUCCUCCAACUUGGGAGCCAUUGAAUGAACAAUUGCACUAAAUUGAUGAGUGACUUUGAUAGUUUCAAAAUUCAUUGACCUCUUCUUUGUCAAAAGAUCUUUCAUAAACUUUGUAUAACCAGGCAUUUGUUCCAAAGCUUCAACCAAUGACACAUUAAUUGAAAGACUCUUCAUCAUUUGCAUGAACUUCUUGAAUUGAUUCUCACCAUUUUGCUUGGAAAGUCUUUGAGAGUAUGGAGGUAGAGGAUUAGGUAAUGGUGCCUUUGCCUUUUGCACUACCAGCUCCAGUAUGUCAAUAAUGUGUUCCCUAGACGAGUUUACCUCCUCUUGAGUCUCUUCCACACUAUCAUCAAUAUCAAUCCGAACUUCCUCAUUAGGUUGAACAACAAUGGUUGAGAUCUCUUCUUCUUGCAUCACUUGAUCAUCAUCAACAAGGCGCCUUCCACUUGAGGUGGGUGCAUUCCUGCCUCUUUAACUUCUUGUGAUAAUUGCCAUAGCACACCCUGUAUCGUACCACCCUUUGGGUUUACUACCGUGUCUCUAGGUAGUGCCCCCUUAGGACAAGAAUUCAAAGCUUGAGAGAUUUUCCCCAUUUGAACUUCUAGGUUGCAGAUUGAUGUGCUAUGUGAGGCAAGUUGGGUAUCCAAAUCGACAUUCUUUUUCGUCAUUUGCUUGAACAUAUUCUCACUAUGUCCCAUCUCAUUGUUUGAAGAACUUAACCCAUGGUAAGGAUAAGGAGGUGGGUUGCUCGGUUGUUGAUACAUUGCGGACCUUUGAAAACCCGACCCCCGGUUGCCUUGAUUGUUACUCCAAACACCUUGAUUGUUGCCUCCCCUAUUUCCUUGGUUGUUUUCACUCCAAUUUUCUUGAUUGUUGUUGUUAUGCCAAUUCUCUUGAUUGUUAGAAUUCUAAUUGCCAUAAUUGUAUUAUGGUCGCCAUUGUUGAUGGUUUGGGCCUCAGAAGUUGUUUCUUUUCCCUAAAUUUUUUUUCACAUAUUGCAUUUCCUCCUCUUGCUCAUUAUAAGAGUCAUCUUAAUCAAAACCACCAUCAUCUUGCACAUAGUUAUCCACUCAAGUUUGAAUUUGUGGACCCUUAGUCCUCUUCUUGUUCACCAAAACAUUCAUUCCCUACAUAGUAUGAACUUGCUUAGGGGCUUGCACUUGACUAAGUUGAGCUUUUGCUAGUUGAUUUAUGGUAGUGGUCAAUUCAUCAAUGGCUUGCCCAUGGUCAUUCAAUUCUUUGUCGAGGUGGAUCAUAUUCGGAUUACCUUAUGUUACAUUGGCUCGAGAUUGCCAAGCCGAUGACAUUUCCGCCAUCUCAUCUAAGAUUUCACACGCCUCCGCAUAAGGCGUAGUCAUAAAGUUUGCACCGGCUAGUUGAUUCACUACACAUUGGUUGGUUGUUUUCUGUCAUAUCAUUGUUGGGACAUUCCUUAACCAUUGUUUUAUAGUGCUUCCAUAUUUCCUGUAGUGGUUUAUUCGGCUCUUGCUUGAAUGCAAAGAUCUCAUCUCGAAGUGUAUCCAUGUGGCCGAGCGAGAUAAACUUAGCAAUAAACUUUUCCUCCAACUCAUCCCAAGUGUGAAUUGAAUGGUUUGGCAAUCUUUCCAACCAAUCUAAAGCUUUCCCCCAUAGAGAGAAGGGAAAAAGUCGUAGCCUUAAUGCAUCCUCGGAAACAUUAAUUUGCUUGGCCCCCGGCAUGUAUCCACAAAGCCCUUCAAAUGUUUAUAAGCAUUUUGAGUUGGUGAACUGGUAAAGAAACCCCGUUGCUCAUGAAAAGUGAGCAUCACAUUGGCGAUUUGAAAGUUUCUGCCCUAAUACGGGAGGGACUAUUACAUUCGCAUAACCUUCGUUAGGAAAUACCUUGUGUGGAAUCGCUUGUGGUGGAGGUGGGGGUGGAACGAGCACAUUGUCAUACGGUACCCGGCCUAUUCGAUUGGUUUGUGGCUCUUGAGGUACCUCCUCUACUUGUUCUUCCUCACCGUCCAAUUCCCCUAAAGGCAAAUUUUCGAGAUCAUUGUUCCCAUGGUUGUACCUAAAAUUUCUUAAACAAAUUAGUAAUAUAGAAAGGAAAUAAGAUAUUCCAAAAAAUACACUCAAUUAUAUAGGUAGAACCGUUUUAGUUCCCCUUCAACGACGCCGAAAAUUGAUCUACGUUCAAUCCGCACUCAAUAGUGAGUGGAAGCUCUUGGUGGAAGAAUAGUACCCAACAAGAGAUGAGAUCGAUUUCCAUAGGGAAUUUAAUAUGGGUGUUAGGGUGUAUACUUGAUGAGAGUAAAUGAAAUAACUCAAUUGCGCUUCCAAAGAAGGGAUUUUGUUUUCUACUUCUAAAUUAACACUAACAAUUGUAAACUAAUGAGAAGAAACCAGAAAGAAAGUAAUCGUUUUUGUUGUUUUUACCAAAUGGUUAAAAGGCCUAGGGAUGUAACCUUCACCUAGGUGUUCACCUAAUGGGUUAAGUACAUUAACACAUUGUUUUAUUUAUCGGGGUGUAUUAUAACUCUCAACCCUCAGUUACCCACUAAAUACCUCUCAGUUAUAGAUUGAUUUUGCCCAAUUUGGCUAGUUCAAACCCUUUAAUUAGGCUAAUCAAAACCUUAACUAGCCUAAUUUCUUGUUAGCCAAGUUUUCCUACACUAAGUCCCUCUUUCUCAAGUAAAGACCAAGUCAAAAAGGCAUGAAUCAAUGUUUGCAACUAUUAAUUCUAUAAUUAAAUCAUAAACGAUGCUAAAUAACAAACAUCCAAUCAUAAACAAACAUUAAAUUAGAUACCCAUAAGGUUUACACACUAGGGAUGCAUCACAACCCUAGUAAAAGUCUAGCUACUCAUAGUAGAAAAUGAAGAAAAUAAAGAAGAAAUACUAAUUAAACCCAUAAUAUAAAAUUAAAAUGAUAAACUAUGAUGUUUUAAUCCCAAAAUGAUCACAAAUUUCCUAAAAUGGAAAACUACAAUGGCUACAGCUGCUAGAACUUCCAAACAUAACCUAAAAAUGUGAUUCCCGUCUAUUUAUAGUGGCCUAAAAUUUGCUGACAAAAAUGCCCCUCGCGAGGUCUUGCGUUCGCACAAUUCCAUGUGCAGUCCGCAUAUUGCUUGAAUCUACAGGAAACUGGAUUCUGCAGCUGCACAAUUUGGUUUGUGGUCACACAAUUUAUGUGCGGUCUACACAUUAAGCAAGGCUUCAAGUCAUGGUCAGUUGCACAUUCUCUGAACUUUUUGAAUUCUUGUUAGUUUGGACCAUGUUCUGCAGCCGCACAAAUUGUGUGUGGUCCGUACUUUUACUUCAAUUAAUGCUGGGCUUCUUCAUUAGUUCUGCGACCACAGAGGAAUUCUGCGGUCCGCACUUUCUGCUGCGGCCGCAAAAAUACUUCUGCGGACCGCACUUUUUGUGUGUUGUUCACCUUCUUGUCUUGUGAGUCGGAACACUCCUCGGAUUUCUUCGUAAAAGCCCAAAUUUCAAACAUUCCUGCAAUUUUCACACUUUCAUUAGUUUUGGGAAUAUAAAUCAAUACUUUUGGGCUAAAACAAAAGUAAAAAGGUACUAAUAAGUGGUCAAAAUCCACACUUAUCACUUGUUUAUCACGGUAACCUUGUUCAGCUACCGAUAAUCAAUACACAUGCGCAUAGUACCAUCUUUCUCCUUUACAAACAGGACUAGAGCACCCCACAUCGACAUACUAGGCCGAAUGAAACCCUUAUCAAGCAACUGUUGCAAUAGCUACUUUAACUCUUUCAGCUCCGCUGGGGCCAUAUGAUAUGGCGGAAUAGAAAUGGUCUGAGUGCACAACAACAAGUCAAUACCAAAAUCGAUAUCCCUAUCAGGCGGCAUGCCCAGAAGUUCCGCUGGAAAUACAUCUAAAAAGUCUCUCACUAUCAGAAUUGACUCAAUGGUAGGAGUAUCUGCACUGAUAUCCCUCAUGAAGGCUAGAUAAACAUCACACCCCUUCUCAACCAUCCGAUGAGCCUAUAUAAAUGACACAACCCUGCUAGGAACAUAAAUCCAACGCACCCCCUUCACUCUAACCGUGUAAACUUGGCAUAGCCAUCGUCAUAGUCUUGGCAUGACAAUCUAGAAUGGAAUGAUAGGGCGACAACUAGUCCAUGCCCAAGAUAAUAUCAAAGUAUACCAUACUAAGUAACAAUAGAUCAACUCUGGUCUCGAGACCACCAAUAACAACAAAACAUGACCGAUACACACGAUCCACAUCAAUAGAAUCUCCUAUAGGCGUGAACACAUAAACAAGGAAACUUAAAUAAUCACGAGAUAUAUCCAAAUACAGAGCAAAGUAAGGUGACACAUAUAAAUAAAUGGAUCCCGGAUCACAUAAGACUGAUGCAUCUCUAUGAAAAACUGGAACCAUACCUGUAAUGACUGAGUUUGAAACAACUGCCUUCGUCCUACCAAGAAAAUCAUAGAAUCUGGCAUGGCCUCCCCCUCUAGGGCGACCUCUACCCAUUUGUCCCCCACCCCUAGCUGGCUAUGCAAGUGGAGCGGAAUCUUGGGCAGCAAUCAUGGCAUGAGAAGUCUGUGGGCCUGACAAAAUCUGUGGAGUCUGAGUAGUCUGUGGAGGUGCACCCCUCCUGAGCCUGGGGCAGUCUCUAACUAUGUGGUGGGUAUCAACACACUCAAAGAUAGCUCUCGGUGGGUGUGUCUGCUAAGACUUGAUCGGGCUUAGUCGGCUAGACUGACCGCUAAAGGCACCCCAUGCAAGAGAUGCACUAGAAAGUGGAUGAGCAAGGUGUGCAACUAGAGACCUCAGAACAACUAGAGCACCACUAGAAGUUGGAAGUGCUGAGUGAACUGGACGACUCACAUAGCCUCUACCAUGACAAGCUGUAGCUGCAGCGUGGCCACCACUAAAUCCUCCAGUACCUUGAGGCCUCUUGGCCUCCCUAUCAUCUCUCUCACGGCCCCGCAUACCCUUCAACCUCCGAGCAAUAUCUACCAUAUGCUGAUAUGGGGUAUUUGUCUCCAACUCUCGAGCCAUGCUGAACCUAAUACCAUAGUUGAUCCCCUUGAUAAAUUGAUGGACUCGCUCUCUAACUAUAGAUGCCAAGGUAUGUACAUGUCUAGACAGAUCACUAAAUCAGGCGGCAUGCUCCGACACUGUCAUAGUACCCUAUCACAACUACUCAAGCUUUGCGUGCUAUGCAUCCCGAAGGGUCUGAGGAACAAACUCUCUCAAGAAUAAAUAUGAAAAUUGAGUCCAUGUAAGUGAAGCUGCCUCGGCUGCGCUACCCUCCUCGUACACUCGCCACCACUGAUAUGUCGCUCCGGACAGCUGGAAGGUAGUAAAAGAAACUCUACUCGUCUCCAUAAUACCUAUAGUACGGAGAAUAUAGUGGCACUACUCAAGAAAACCAUGUAUAUCCUCUGAAGACAAACCACUGAAAGUAGGAAGGUGGUACUUUUUGAACCUCUCAAGCCUAAGCUGCUCCUUUUCAGAUGUUGGUGCCCUAACCACGGGCUGAACCAGAGCAACAGGUUGUACUGGUAUAACCUCUGGGACCUAAUAAACCUGGACCCACUACUCUGGGUAUGGGCUGCAGGAGCAUGUGCUCCUCCCUCUAGCCUAAGAUAUGGCUGGUGCAAGUGGAAUCAACCCCGCCUAAGCUAAGGUAUCGAACAUGCUCAAGAGCUGUGUGACGGUAUCUUGAAGUGCUAAGGUGGCAAUAGGCGCCUCGGGUGCCUCUCCCCAAACUGGAGCUACUGGUGGCUCAUCUCUCGCAGCUCGAGUAGGUGAUUUGGCUACACCAAGUGCCCCUCCUCGACUUCAGCCCCGGCCUCUCGUGGCUCUAGCAGGGGUCAUGAGUGUUUGAUCGUCAUAUAUACAAGUGCGUGUCCUCAUCAUCUGCGAGAGAAUAGAAAGUUAGUUUUUGAAGCCAACCAAUUCACACGAUAAGGAUUUAAAGAACUGAAGUUUUCCUAAAAGUUCAGCCUCUCGAAGAUAAGAUAGUUAUGAACCUAAAGCUCUGAUACCAACUUGUUACGACCCCAAAUUUACCUCCGAACGAUGUCGUGAUGGCACCUAGUCUCUACGACUAGGUAAGCCUAACCAAUAAUAAUAACUUGGCGGAAACAAUUAUCAAAAUUGGCCAUCAUUUCUUUACCCGACAACUCUUUCAUCCUUGCAGGGUAAAGAGGGGCAGCUGUUGAUACCCAAUUUUUUCCUAUAAUAUUUUUGUAGUGCAUAUAUAUCAUUAAAACUAUUCAUUGGCAUCCAUGGGUAUUUUUCCAUAAUUUUUAAAUUGUUUUAAUUAAUUUAUCUCAAUAUUUUCUUCAUAUAAUUAAUUACAAAAUUGCAUUACAGAUGAUUUUAAAACAUCUCUUGAAUUAAUAUUACCAUUUAUGGCCUUAUUAAGUUCCAAUUAUUUUACAAAUGUCCAGAUUUACACCUUUUGGUUACAAUUGCACUGAUUUUGCAAUUAUAGCCUAUGUACACAUCAUUGCAUAAUUUUGCUAGAAAUUGGUCCCUUAUAUUUUUCAAAUAUUGAAUAAUUAUUUUGAGGCACUUCUAUGCAGAAAAUUAUUUUUUCUAAUUUUAAAUUAUUUUAUAAAAUAAUUUUAUUCAAAUAUUUGGGUAUUUAACAAAUAGCCUCUUAAUCUCCCUAAUUUUCGGACCCAAAAACCAGCCCAAAACCCUAACCAAAUUCACCCAGGCCCAAAGGCAAUUAGACCCUACCUAGACCCCUCUAAUCUUGGCCGUUGAUCUCUGAGAUCUAGGCCCACAUUGGUUCUUACCAAUUUUAACUCCAAACGACCCCUCCUAAAUUAAAUCAUUUUCCACCACACCCUGCAGUCACCUGUUCCCUUCUCUCUCAAACGCUCUCUACCUAAACCCUAAUUUUCAGGCACCGUCACCGGCUUAGAUCUCCAUUCUACGAUGUUUCUUUAUCGUCUCAGGCCUAUAUUGGCCUCCUACAUGCUAUGGUUCAUCAGUUUCUUGGAUCCUUGAGAAGAUCUCAAGGGACCUAGGCGGUCUGGUUUGUACCUUUGAUUUCUUUGCAUGUUUCAGGCCAUUUGCUCGACCAUGAGUAAGAAGCCUCUCUUAUUUUGAUAUGAAUCCACGACUUUCUAGACCUAUGUUCUCAUCUCUGAUUUACUUUUGAAAACCCUAAAUUUUGUCUUUGAUCUUCUCAGAUCUGUACAUAUUUAAGAAGAAUCGGACCUAUUUCACAUGUUUUUCAUAAAAAAUCUUCUGGUUUUUCGAGUGAUUUUCUAUUUUUUCUAAAGCUAGGGUUUCCUGGAAAUCCUUUUCUCCAAAUGUUUUCUGACUUUGAAUGUUUAACCUUCUAUUCUUAUGUGCUUUUGGUCGAUUUAUGUUAAGUGUGCCUUAGCCCUAGUUGAUUCAUGCUAAAACCCCAAUUUUUGACAUUUUUUUCUUUGAUUCUAAGCUUGACCAUGUUACAUGUACACUGUUUCGUUCUAUGCUUUGAUUCUCAUGAUUUCUCCUUAGUCUAAUUUAAAUGUCUUGUGAUUUUUACCCUAGUAUGCCUCUAUUAAGGUUUCUGACUUGAUUUCUCGACUGAUUCUGUGUGUUUAUACUUAGCCUAUUUGUGUAUUUGUAGAAACAUAUAUUAUUCUCCUUUAAAUCAGUACUAUUUUGGAUUCCUGAUUUACUGAUUUGCUCCGUAAAAAAACUAGGGGCCGAUUCUUGAUUAUUCAUUUAUUUGCGACCUUAUUUAGUUUCUCACCUUAUUUGAUUAACUGUGAUACUUACUGAUUCCUCAAGAUUGUUUCCUUAAUUGAACCCCUGCUUAUUUACCCCAAAUUUCCUACUCUGUACUUAAGUCUUACACGAUUUUCUUUCUUUAAAUAUUGUCCUACCCUUUACCGUUGGGUAAUUACUCCUUGAUUAAGGGAGACUAUACUGAUUUUGUGCAUAAUUGAUUCCGUAAGCUUCCUUAAUUGCUGACUGAUUGAUCUCCUUUGCCUUACUCUGUUUUGCUCCCAACUACUAUAUAUACUCUCUCUAUUCUCACUUCUGGACAAACACUAGUUCAGAAUACACACACACUCAAACUAUUCUCCUUCUUUGUUACUUGUGCUAUUGUGGGUCUAGCCGACUGAAAGCCAAGGCUAGAUAGUGAGACUAUACUUGUUCUAUAUUCUACACUCUUUUUUUCUCAAUCGGUAUGUCUCUAGUUACAAUUGAAAUCCAAACUCUAUGUGUUUCAUUCCUGCAUUAGUUCAUUAUGAAUUUGACUUCUUUGUUUGAGCAUGCCUAAAUUCUGCCUAUUCAAUGUACAACUAGUAUGUCUACACUUUACAUGUUUAUCUGAUGCUUGACCAGUCUGUGUGUUGAUUUGUGAUUAAUCCUUUAGCUAUGUGAUCAUGCUAUGAUCCUACUUGUGUGUCUGAUUCUGUUUUCUACAUCUUUGCUCCAUGUUUUAGUUGCCUGCUAUCCUGGUUAAUCCAUUAAGACUAUGAAACUUCUAAGUGUUCUAUGUUGUCUACAUGCCUCCAUGCCCCUAUUUAUGUACCCUCAAUGAGAUUCCUAUAUGUUCUCAAUCCUUUUCACCCUUGUGUGCAAACCUGCCUGCUAAAGUGCUUAUGAAUCUGAACCUUCUAUGAUUGACUCGCUGCCGACUGAAUUUUGCUCUCUUCUGAACUGUUUUUCAAAAUGUUUUCUGUAUUCUUCUAAAAUCUGGCUUUCAUUCCUAGUAUAUUUUUUAAAACUGGUCUAUUCUAGAAAAUCUUUUUUCAAUCCAAAGGAGUUGUCUCCACAUUGUUUUCACUAAGUCUUUUCAAGCACUCUCACUUACUAUUAGGUUAUUAAGUUCUGCCCCUCUGGUAUAUGUACUACUUAGGGGUCCUUGAGAUCUCUCUGAACUCAGGCAUAUCAGGGCUGGCUUUUCCACACUGCACAUAACCAGUCCCCACUUGAGAAAAGUAUUGGUGUGAGCAUUGCCCGGGAUCCUUGAGGUCCUUAGAGAACUGUGACACACCUAGACACUUGUUGUCUCUGAGAUUUCUGAGCAUUUGAGACUACAUUGAAGGCCUGGUGCUCCCAAGUUUAUUUUGGGCCUGCUUCAGGCUCCCUAUAGUAUUACUUUACAUUUCUUCUGUGUAAUUUAUGCAAUUCUGGUCUGUAAUAAUUAUUUUUAAAUAAAUAUUAGGGUAACUAAUAAAAGGGGAGGUAGUUGUAUGAUACUCUGGGUAGAAAACAUGCUAUAGGCUUUAUAUUCUGAAAAUCUGCAUUAGAAUCCAUGUUCUAGGAUUGAUGUGUUCAUUUACAUUUAAACCGUGUUGAACCUGUACAUUAGAUAUCCUAUUUUAGGGCCCUCACAUUUACUGCUUCAGCAUGUUGCAUGUUUAAUUCCUGGUUCUUCGCAAGUACUAUCACAUAGACAUCCUGCUAUUAAAUAAUCUUAAUAAAAAAUGUGAUUCCUGUAUGCAUUAGAUACCAUAUUCUUAGGAACUCUGUUUGCAUCUGUUUGAACCACGUCUAUUUCUAUUAAAUCGAUAUCUGUCCAUGAAAAGGUUUAAAACAGACUCACGCAUAGGUAUCAUGUCUCUGAACACAAAUUGAUAAAUCGCCUAUUAUAAUCUGUAUCACUUAGAUAAGUAUGCCUAUAGGAUAAAAGAACUUCAAACUGUUUAAGUAUUCCCCAGAUUCGUGACUGCAUAUACACACUUAGGCAAGCCUUAGGCCGUUAAAAAUUUGUGAAACCAGUUCUGCUUAUGUGUGAAAUUAUCCAGGCUUAACAGGCUAUAAAACUGAUAGGCAAACUGGUUAGGAUUCUUCCACUUCCCUUAAAACUAACAUUGCAUAUCAUGUAUCUAUAACAUCCAUCUAAAUAUCAUGUUCUUAGACUUUCUGAACUUCUUCAAAAUCAGUUGUUUGAGACGUGCUGUUUAGUGGCCUAUGUAUGUGUGGAGGUAAACAUGAGCCUUUUACCUGCUUCUUUAAUUGACAGUCCUAUAAGUUAUUCAUUGUUGCCUAGACUUUUCCCUUUUAAACACCUUAGGAUUGUCUAAAACUGUCUAAGUCUGGAGGUCCUAAAUUCCUCCGGGGCCACAAGGAAGGGAAGGCUACAAGGAAGGGACGGGUUGCAGCACGCUUAGAGGUCGUUAAUCGAACUCGCUUAUAUAACCAUUGGGGGGGGAGUAAUGGGUAGUAAAAGGAUAUGAUGACCUGCGCGCUAAUAUCACGUGUAGCCCCUCUAGUUGAAGAGGUAUAUCGGGCAUUGCACAGAUUGAUCCUGUAGGCUAAUCAACUUAGGACUUUCUUUUCUCAAUUCCUAUAUGUGUUUAAAUUAUCUAAACUUCCUUUUUCUUUACAUAUAUGUGUGUUUAAGCUGUCCUAACCUCUUUUACUUUCAUUAUCUAAAUUUCCUUGAUCAUAUAUGUAUUUAGACUAUGAAAACCACCUAAAUAUGUGCUAAGACUGUUUACUUGUUAAAUGACUAAUUCACAUAAUUUAAGUUCGGCCGGGACCCACCGUUGUAGACCGUGAGGGGUGCCUAACACCUUCCCCUAAAGGUUAUUUCGAGUCCUUACCCUAAUCUCUGGUAAUGUAAAUUAGUUACAUGAGUUAAUCGCUCUAGGUGCCCUAACGCACCUUAAAUCCAUUAGGUGGCGACUCUUCAAAUUCAAAUACCUAAUUCCCAAAAGGAAACGAGUUGUUCCCCCAUGAAUAUCGAAACCUGGACUCCGCGAGGAAAAAAGGGGCGCGACAUGCCUUGCUCAGGCUUACGCGAUCGCGAGUUCUUCCACACGUUCGCGAAGGGUAUGUCCCCUGGCCUUCAUGCUCAUGGACCAUUGUACGCGUUCACGUAGAAGAAAUGACUGAUUCCCAGGCCACCUCUAUUUUAUGCUACGCGUUUGCGUGACACCGGUCGCAUUCGCGAAGAGCAGCCCCCCAGUGCUCUGCAUUCGCGACAAUGGCUAUGCGUUCACAAUGAACAAAACCUAGCCCCAGCCCUGAGUACACUUCGUAAUCGCGAGAGUGGCUUCGCAACUGCGAAGCAUAAAAUGCCUGUACACCAGAAGCAUCCAAAACAACAGAAGUUCUUAAGUCCAAAACAUCCCGAAACCUAUCUAAAACUCACCCGAGCCCUCGGGGUUCCAAACCAAACAUGCACACAAGUCUAAAAAUAUCAUACCGACUUAGUCAUGUGAUCAAAUCGCCAAAAUAACACUUAUAACUACGAGUUUAGCAUCAAAAUCAAAGAAAAAUCUCAAGAACUCUUAGAGUUUCCAUUUUCACAACUGAGGGUCCGAAUCAAGUCAUAUGAAUUCCGUUUCUUACCAAAUUUUAUAGGCACAAUACCAUAUUAAACCUGUACCGGGAUCCGGAACCAAAAUACGAGCUCGAUACCAUCAAAUUCAAACAUCGUUAAAUUUCCAAAAACUCUUAUAUUUUCAAUUAAAUAAUUUUCUUUCAAAAAUUCAUUUCUCGGGCUAGGGACCUCAGAAUUCAAUUCCGGGCAUACUCUCAAGUCUCAUAUUUUUCUAUGGACCCUCUGAGAUUGUCAUAUCAUGGGUCUGGGUUCGUUUACCUAAAAUAUUGACCAAAGUCAACUUACAAUUUUAAAGGCAAAUUAGCAUUUUUUCCUCAAAUUUUUAAAUAAAGGCUUUUCGGAUAUACGCCCAGACUGCGCACGUAAAUCGAGGAGAAAUAAAAUAAUGUCUUGAAGGCCUUGGAACCCCGAAUUGGAUUCUAAAACACGAGAUGACCUUUUGGGUCAUCAGAUAUAUGUAAAGGGCAAUUACUUGUGGUUAUCUGUAAUGAUAGGAUAAUCAAACGUUGCCACUGGCUUGGGCAAUAGUUGAAGUUGAAAAUACAUUUACAUGAAGAUUGUUUGUCAACCUUAUAAAAAAUGAUCUUUAGCUUGGAGAUGGGACAGAGUUGUUAUUAAAGACAUGCAGAAGGUAAUCUAUAUUCUAUUAAAUGUGUUGUUCAAAUCCGUUAAGUUUAUUCUUUUAACUAUUUAUUUUUAACUGUUGUAGGGACUUGACAAAGCAAUCAGUGAGAUCCUCCCACAGGCAAAACAAAGGAUGUGUGCCAAGCACAUCCUAGUAAACUGGUCAAAAAAUGGAGAGGCAUUGAGAGAAGAAACUAUUUUUGGAGAUAUGCUAGGUCUACUUAUGCGCAAGAGUUAAAAAACAUCUUGACCACAUGAAGAAACUAGGGGAUAAAAUAGUUGAGGACAUGUUAUGCUAUAACAAAGAGAGGUGGUGCAAUGCAUAUUUUAAGUAUUUUAGGAAUUGUGACAGUGUUGAAAACAAUAUGGAUGAAAGUUUUAAUUCUUGGAUAUUGGGGACAACCCACAAAGAAAUGAUCACAAUGCUUGAAGAGAUCAGAGUGAAGAUCAUGAUAAGAAUAGCACAAAUGAGGGAUUUAUAUGAUAUGUGAAUCUUUGAUAUUUCUCCAAUGGCACAAAGGUGUUGCAGGAGAACUGAAGGUGUUGCAGGAGAACACAACAAAGUCAAUGAAAUGUGUGGUGCACUGGAAUGAUCAAUAUGGUUAUGAAGUGAAUGAAGGACUCACCAGUAAACAUAUAGUGAAUCUGAACAAGCUUACAUGCACCUAUAGAGCUUGGAUGCUGAAGGGUAUACCAUGUGCUCAUGCUAUAGCUGCUAUCCAUUUCACAAAAUUGGAGCCAGUUAACUACAUUGCACAUUGGUAUCAUAGGGAGACUUAUACGAAGAUCUACAGUUACUUCUUUUAGCUUGUACAAAAUAUGAAGAUGUGGCUAUAAUGACAAAACCUUUCAGUUAUACCACCAGAAGUAAGAAAAAUGCCUGGCAUGCCCAAGAAAGCGAGAAAGAAGGAACCAACUGAAAACAAAAUAAGAAAGAUUUCCAAAAGAGGUACCCAGAUGAUCUGUAAUAACUGUCAUGCAAAAUGCCAUAAUAAGAAAGGUUUUCAUAACGGCGCACAAGGUGAUACAAGAUCAACUGGUGGUGCAAAGUUAUCAAGUGUUUGUUCUUCAUCAACACCUUCAGUUUAAAGUGUACAAAAAUAGGAAGAGGAAGAGGAAAACCAAGAGGUUCAACAAAAUAGGUAAUAACUUGUAAGUUACUUCCAUUACAAAUUAUUUUUUUGUAUAACUUCUUAAUACUUUGCACUUGUUAUAAGAUAAUGCUACUGGUAUAGGAAGAGAGACACCCUAUAAAAGGCCAAGAAUAGUUGGUAUGGGAACUAUACAUACAGAAAAUGGAGCUUCCAUCUAUAAUGUAAGCCUAGAAUAUCAACUAUGAUUAUGAACUCUUUGUGAUCAAAUUUGGAUGAAAACUAUCUAAGUUUGUUUUUGUGAAUAUAGCCUGGAAUGUCAAUUGUGCCCAAGAACUCUGCAGUAGUGAUCAGAGAUAUUGGAACAAAUCAUGAACAUGAAUGAAAUAAAAAGGUAAAGAAGUUAUUACCUCAAGGAAUCUUUAACACAUUCAAGCUAAGAAAAGAAUGGAGACAAGUUUGAGCCAAACAAGUUCAUCAACACCACAAUCCACUGCCCAGUAGAUAUUAGUACUUCAAUAUUUUUGUGUGCCUUUUGGCAGUGGGUAUAUGUAAAGAGAAUAGGAAUGUAUCUGCACUUUUAAACAAUGUUCUAUUUUGGUAUGUAACUAUAUUCAGCAAUGACUGAAAGUUUCCAAGUCUGUUUUCUGGAAUGAUAUGUAGCAAUGACUGCACUUUUGCAGGUAAGUUUUCUGUAAAUGAUAUGCAAAAAUGAAUGCACCUUUGUUAACACAAAGUUUGUGAUUAUUUUUUUGUUUAAUCUUUUCACGUUAAAGUAACAAUGUUCAGUAAUGAUUGCAUGUUUUUAAGUUUGUUUUUCUGCAAUAUGCAGCAAUUAUUGCAAAUUUUUAAGUCUGUUUUUAUGCAAUAAUGUGCAGCUACUACGCAGCAGUGACUGCAGGUUUGCUAAUAUAUUUUUCUUCAUAAAUAUGCUGCUAAUAUGCAGCAGUGACUACAAAUUUAUUUAUUUAUUUAUUUUCUGCAUAAAUAUGUUGCUAAUAUGCAGUAGUGAUUGCAAAUUUAUUUAUCUAUUUUCUACAUAAAUAAAUACAAAGCCUUCUUUUGUAAUACACAUAUUGCAAAUUUUAACAACACACACUAAAAUAACAAGAUGCAUUAUAUUAUAACAAAAGUUACACCAAGUUUUUACAAAAGAUGCUACAACAAAAUGAUGCAACACUAAAGAUACUACACCAUAACAAAGCCUAAAACAACUUUAUUGAAUCAUUCUUCACAUAUACUAGAUGAAACCAAUAGCUUAUAGCUAUAACGCAUUCACACAACACAAAAACUUAAAGUGCUUUCUCCCUAAUCUUGGACUUAACCAAACUGCUCCUCCACUUCCUCUCCCUUUCUUUCGUCUUUUCAAUCUCUCCCUCCAACUUCUCCAAUUGCAUCUCUAUCUUCUUUUCCACUUGUUUUUUUCCGUAGUCUUCUCAACACUUUCAUACACUUCCAAUGCAGUUUCAAGCUCACCAAUUUUCUCCACAAGUUUAGGAAUAACAAUUUUGAUCUUGGAUCAAUUUCAGCAUAUCUUCAACACCAAAAAUCACAAGAUCUUGGACCCUACAAUGAUGAAACACAAGGAAUUAAUUAAAGGUCAAUCAAUGAAAGCUUCAACUAAUUUACAAAAAUUAAUGAUUCUUCUACCUAUUCCAAAGGAUGGACACACUCAAUAUCUUUUACCGGGGUUCCGAGGGGUCCAAGCAGUCAAUAUCGACAUCACGUAACCAUAGUUGCAACGCACUUCUUUAUUCAAUCUAGGAUCAUCGAUCUUCCAUGCAAAGCCUAGCUAAGUUGCUUGACCGCAUUAUCGACUAAGCCCUAAAAUCAGAUGAACCCCCAAAUAAAAAGAAAUUCGGACCACUCAAAAUAAACCAUAAAAUCAGAUGAACCAAAAGAUUAUAAAUAAGAAUAAGGCUUUGAUUCAGAUAAAAGGAUUUGAUUUUGUUCGAAAUUCUAUAUCUUGGCCAGAAAUUAUGAGUAAUUGAAGGAGAGGGAGAUUUAGGGUUCUUGAAGAAAAGAAGAAGGAUUGGAUCACGUAAUAUAAUUUUACCGUUGGGGUCUCUUUAUAAAGUAAAUGUACUUUUAAAAUAAUUUUUCUUUUCUUAAAUUCAUUUUAUCUGUUAAAUUUACUGUAAAACGCGCUCAUAUGAUCUGGUGUCGUGGAGGUUGGAACAAAAUUCACUCGCAAUGUGUUUUGGGGGGUAAAAAAACACCCGUUUAAUUUAAGUGUUCAAACAUAUUUUCUAGACAAGUUUAACGAGGUCUUUAUGUAUUUUUCCUUUUAUAUAUACCUGUUUACCUUUUGACUUACAGUUAGGAUCCUGACUUUACUGUUAUUUUCCGUCUCACAUAUGCCCCUCCUACUAAUGGUUUUCUAUCAAGUGAAAAAAUUGGUCUAGCCAUGUAGGAUAAACGGAUAGUACUUUAGUGGUAAAUUUGAAUCUUUUCCCUUUAAUAAUUGGUAUAUUAAAAUCUCCAGAUUAUUAUUCUUUCAAAUAAGCUUUCAUAAAAUAAUACUCUAAGAUAGUAGCUUGUCCACAAUUUUAAACAUGCUAACAAUCUAUAUAUAUAUAUAUAUAUAUAUAUAUAUAUAUAUAUAUANNNNNNNNNNNNNNNNNNNNNNNNNAUUUCAUUUACAAGACCCUAUCUCUCUUAAACAAUUUCAUGGGGGUGUCUUUUUUUCAAUUUAUCAUAGUUCUCACGCAAUGAAAGUAAUUUGUAUUUUUUGACUUUCUACUUACUUUUUCGUAUGAUACUACUAAAAUGUUUAUCCAGCAUCGAUCGUUCUGGACUAAAACGCGUUGCUUUGAUCAAUUUUUUCCAUUUUGCCUCUUAAAUUGUUAGUGGAACGAAAAUUUUAUACUUAUAGGUCAUUCAAAGAAUAUCUAUAAAUAAGUCUCCCAAAAAGUGGAAUUUGCAUUCUUGAAAAUAAAGCAAAAUUUCCUGCAACAUCAAAGUUAGAUAACAUGAUAGCGUAAAAUUUUUAUUUCUAAUGGUCUUUAUAACUUAAACUCGAGUUCAAUACUCAGAUGAUCACUCAACUAUAUAAAAUUAUGGACUAAGUCACAUUUCUUUCACUAGUAACAGAAAAGUCACUCAACUAUUUCUAUUGCAUACAAAUUAGUCACUUAACCGGAAUUAUAAAACUUUCCGAUAGAAAAUGUCAUGUGGCAGUCCAUAUGAAUUUUUAAAUAUUUUUUGGACCAAAUAAAAUAAUUAAUACUCAAACAAAACGUAGAAAAUCCACCCAUACACCAAACCUAACCCGCUAAAAGUAAAAAUCUAGCCGCUAAAUAAAAUCAUCAAACGUUAAAACGUAUCCCUAUUGCAAAUGCAUCUCUCUUCUUCUUAUAAAAAAGUAUUUUUUAUGGUUUCACUCUAGUCCUCAAUCUCGCACCCAUUAUUAUUUUAUAAAAAGUAGAAGAAAAACUGUGAAAAGAAGAAUACAUGUCAUUGAGAAAAGAAGAACACAAAUCAGUCUAGUCCUUAGUCCUUAACCUCGUACACAUUAUUAUUUUAUAAAACUAGAGUAAAACCAUAAAACAAAAAAGAUGAAAUAUGCUUUUUAUGAGAAGAAAAGAGAUGCAUUUACAACAGAGAUGCAUUUUAGUGUUUGAUUUUAUUUAGUGGUGGAUUUUUACUUAUGGUGGGUCGGGUUGGAUGUACGGGUGAAUUUUUUAUAUUUUGUUUGUUAUUAAUUAUUUUAUAUGGUUCAAAAAUAUAAAAUGUUCAUGUAGACUACCACGUCACAUUUUUUCACAGAAAAGUUUGAUAAUUUUGAUUGGUGACUUUCUAUGUGUAAUUAAUAGAAUAGUUGAGUGACUUUCUUGUUACAAACAAAAGAAAAAUACCUUUAAUCCAUAAUUUUAGAUAGUUAGGUCAUCACCUGAUUAAUGAACUCCUUAAACUCAUUUACUAUUUUGUAGGAGUAAACUUUUUUUAGAGGUGAGGUAGGCCUAGCUAGGUGCAGUUAAAAAAAAAAAGGUUAAAUGAGAAACGAAAGAAAUAAGGGGCAACAGUUCCAGAGUUAGUUAGUGUUCAAUUCUAACUUAUCAUUAUAGUAUUUUAUUCCUAUCCAUUUAAAGUAGCGGUACUCAAUAUUUUUGACUUGUCUAUAAAAUGGAACUCUAAAAAAAGGAAAGCAUGAAAAGGAAAAAAAAAAAACGCAAGAGAAAGAAAUAAGUCCAAUUGCAUUAUUAUGUCUCAAAAGCAAAAAACUCCAAUUCUUCUCAUCUUAAGCUUCUCUUUGUUUGCUCAUCUUCUAUCUCCUUGCAACUGUGAAUGCAAAUUUGGCGAAGUAGGCACAGAAAUCCGAGGGAUGAUGGUAUUUGGCAGCUCAUUAGUUGAUAAUGGGAACAAUAAUUUUAUUGAAAAAACAAAAGCAAAGGCAAAUUACUUGCCAUAUGGAGUAGAUUAUGUAAGGGGACCAAGUGGUAGAUUUACAAAUGGGAAGAAUGUGAUUGAUCUUAUUGGUGAGAAACUAAAGAUCCCUCAAAUUCCAACAUUUAGAGAUCCAGAAACUAAAGGAAGUUGCAUUGUUCAUGGUGUUAACUUUGCUUCUGGUGGUUCUGGCAUUCUUGAUGAAACUGGUGC
Molecule: long non-coding RNA, 52504 nt
Filed under: Nicotiana tabacum (common tobacco)
Lineage: Eukaryota; Viridiplantae; Streptophyta; Magnoliopsida; Solanales; Solanaceae
Description: long non-coding RNA (NTAB_LNC010689)
Source: RNAcentral